This 67906-nucleotide long non-coding RNA is filed under the name Cucumis sativus (cucumber). Its description in RNAcentral is "long non-coding RNA (CSAT_LNC000826)". The stretch from base 12784 to 12855 matches the Rfam family "tRNA". The record is from RNAcentral. Lineage: Eukaryota; Viridiplantae; Streptophyta; Magnoliopsida; Cucurbitales; Cucurbitaceae.
CUAAAACUUUAUCUUUUGGUUUCCUUUUGCUGGUGAGUUUGGGCUUAGCUUCGGCGGCCCGAUCUCUUCUUUCUUACGAUAUUCCUCCUCAUCGAUCUGGAUACGAUAAUUAUGAUCAUCCUGUAGUUAACCCUAAAGUAGGAUACGAACAUGACCGUCGUGAUGGAUACUACCAUGACCGUGACCAUCAUGAUGCACCUUAUGGUGGUGGUGCUGGUGGAGGAUAUGGAGCUGGAGCUGGAGCUGGCUCAUCUCUUGGAGGCUCUGGAUAUGGAAGUGGAGGAGGUGGUGGUUCUGGAUAUGGAGGUGUAGGAAACCACGAGGUUGGUUAUGGUAGUGGUGGAGGGGGUGGAUAUGGAGCUGGAGUUGGCUCUGACCUUGGUGGUAGCGGAUACGGAAGCGGUGGUGGUGGAGGCAGUGGAGGAGGAUACGGUGAUUUAGGAGGACGUGGAAAAGGGUACGGUAGCGGUGGAGGUGGAGGAAGUGGAUAUGGAGGUAGAGGAGACCAUGGAGUUGGUUAUGGAAGUGGUGGAGGUGGAGGAUAUGGAAGUGGAGUAGGUGGUGGUGCAGGAGUGGUAGACCAUGGUGUAGGUUAUGGGAGUGGAGGAGGAGGUGGGGCUGGUAGUGGUUAUGGUGGUUCCAAAGGAUAUGGAGGUGGAAGCGGCGGCGGUGGGGGAGCCGGUUAUGGUGGUGGAGCACAUGGAAGUGGAUAUGGAAGUGGUGGUGGAGCUGGAAGUGGUGAAGAAGGAGGAUAUGAUGGUGGAUAUGCACCGUAAACAAAGAAAAGAAAAGAAAAAGCUCAAAGUUUUAUGGCUAAAAUGAGAAUGCUUACCCUAAUAUCAUCAAUGUGUGUGUGUGUUAGCAAAAAAAAAAAAUAAAAGAAUUUGGGUAAGAAAUGUUAUAUUAAUUAUCUUUGAGCUUUUAAGUAAUUUGAAUGUAAUAUAAUAUAUAUAUAAAAAAAGCUAAUCCAUGUGUUCCAAAGUGAACCAACAUGAAGUAUAUUUUCUCCCUUUGUCAUCAUGAUCAUCUUAAACUUGUGGUUAUUAUGUGGGCUCUCAUUAUUAUUCCAAGAUAGCAACGUCGGGAUAUUCAAAUAUUUUUCAUAUGUAAUGUCUUAAGACUAAAUCACUAUGAUCUAUAUGCUUUAAUUAAGUUCAAAACUAUUUUGGAAGCAUUAUGAUUAAUAUAUUGAUUACUUAAAUACUAUUAUAUGGUUUUCAAGGUAACUUGAUGUUGUUAAUAAAAGAAAUCUUUAAUAUUUAAUCAGUCCUUUCUCUUAAAAUUUAGUAAAAAUAAAUACUAAAAUGGUAUGAUGUUUUAUGGUUGGAUUUGGGGUAUGUGUUUUGGCUUGUCCCUCUAGUUGUGACUUGUUCAAAAUAAGUGUACAAUCAAAUUCACUUGGGUUAUUAAAGACAAUUGAUAAACAAAAAUUGCCAAAACGAUAGAGCAUAACUAUUUAAUCGGUAUAAAACUUGUACAAUCCAUUAAUCAUAAUAUACUUUUUCUAAUUGAUCUCUAAUUGAUCGUACAUACUAGUUAGUGUCGAUAAAAAACUCAAUUUGACGUAUAAAUAUUUGUUUGUUGUAAAUGAACAUCUAAGUAUAUUCUUGAUUAAUUAUUCUUAUACUAAGAGUAACAUUGACCCCUCUAUUCUUUAGUAUUUGGUUAAAAGAAUAAAAAAUUAGUAAGUGAUGAAUCUUAGUGUGCUAUAGGUUGAUCAACCAAUUAAAAUUAGUCGUUUCAAGCAAUACUUUCGAAAAAAUUCAUUAAAUAGGAGUUAUUUAAACUAUCAACCCUGAGUUUUUAUACAUUACAAUAAAUUUAAUCUUUGAUGUCGGUCAAAAACUAAUAUAUAGGAGUACAAUAUAGAUCACCAGAUCGAUAUGGAAGACAAUGUUAUGGAAGAUGUUCAAUGUUAAUCACUUUUAUGUUCGUUUUGGUCUUGGCAUUAUAAAUAAUUUAAAUGGUAGUUUUUGCUCACACUACAAAUGUGUUAGACUAUUAGUCAUCAAAUAGUUUGAAUUCCUUGUAAAAAAAAUUAGUUGAAACAAAAAUAAAUAAUUAUCUUUGCAUUAAAAUAAAAUAAAAUAAAUAAAAUAGAUUUUUUUGUGAAUAUUUUGGUCAGGUGUUCUAUUUUUUAUAAUUUCCCAUAAAAAAUAUGUGUAAUAAGUUAUUUAAAAUACUAAUAGUAUUAAUUAGUUUACUUAAUAAAUCAAUUAUAUCUCUAAAUGAUAUUUUGGUAGAUUUAAAAAUAUUUUGAUUCAUUUUGCUAUAUUUGAAAAAGAAACCAUAAAAUUCUACUUCAUAUUCGCAAUAGAUCAUGGUAAACUUAGAUAGGCAUCUAUUAUUUAUAUAUAUGGUGAUAGAUACUUAUGUAUCUAUAUCCAAGCCCAUCAUCUAAAUAUUUUCAAAUGGUUUUCAAUUGAAAACAAAUUUCUCAAUAAGUAAUUAAAAAUUAGGUUUUUAUUCACUAAUAAUUAUUAUUUAAAUGUGAACAAAUAAAGUUUAGCUCGUAUAUAAUGGGUCAGUAGGUACACUCGGAUAUCUCCACUAGAUGGACACCCCUUAGCACCCUCAUUAUCUCCGUUUCAUUAAUAUAAAAAAUCGAAUUGAAUACACGAGAAGUAAAGAGAACAACCCAAACAAAAAACAAAGAACUAGAGACAAGCCCAAAACAAGUACAAACAAUUAGAAAGCAUGAAGAAAUUAGUGCUUUAAACCCCUAAACCGCAAUGUUACUUAACAAAUAAAAUUGUUAUUUAAAAGUUUGAAGUUAUUAUUGAGUUUUAUUUUAGCAAAUUAAUCAUCUCUUAAAUUAAAAAUCUCAAACAUACAUGGAAGAUAAGAUCAAUUAAGCACAUGUUGGAUGAAUUUUGUUCGAAUAAAAAUUAAAACAACUUAUUGUUAUCAACUUAUAAGUUAUAUAUAUGAUGAUGGUGGUGCAGAGGUGAAAACUUAGUUUGAGAUCUCUCCCUACAUCUACUAUGCUUUUACGUUCUAAUGUAUUUUGUGGUAAAAAAAUCAAUUAUAAACUUUUAAGAAAAAUUUUCAUAUGUUAUUAUUUUUUCUCUAAAUUCUAAACUAGCCAGGUUAUCAACAAAACAAAUACCACUAGAGUUUAAGGGAUUAGGAAGCAUAUAUGAAUAUCUCAACUUGGUUAACACGUCGUUUUUAAACAUUUCUCAUCAGGUUGCUGUUUCAAAAGUGAUGCACUGAUGUGAAGAAACAUAUAGGAGAAAAGUGAGAUGGAAAGUUAGUAUAUUGGACAGAGUACAUAGUACAUAGUAGGUUUAUUAAUUAAUUUAUCCAAAUGAUAAUCUCAUUACCAAGCACUAUGUGAUUUAGAUAUGAAUAAAAUGUGAUCAUUUUUCCACCACUAUUACAUAGCAAAUGGGAAAACAUCUCAUUGUGGUUUGAUAUUUUAAAAAACAAUUAUGGUAAUGCAAGUCGUCUCAUAUCCCAUAAUAUUAUCUCAGUCUCAUGGCGACUGAUACAAAAGGACAAAACUAACUUCAUUAAAAUAUGUUCUCUCCUUCCUACACUUUUUAGGUAUAUAUCAUUCAUAUAUUAAUCACUGCAAUUGGUUAGGUGGACUACAAAAACAUAGAUAUAGUCCGAGAUAAAAUUAAGUACGGUUAUAUUUUACGAGACUUUUGAUGUGUUUGAUUACAUUUUCAUGUGUUUCUUUUAGAAAAUAAGUUAUUUUGAAAAAACUAAAGUAUUUUAAACAAUUUUUAGAACAAUCAAUUUCUUGAAAAAUAUUUUUUUCUUAAUUCAAUCUAAGAUGGAUCCUCAAAAUAUUUGAGGGUAGUUCUUUUAUAAAAGUAUUUACACUAGGUUGGUUUAUGAAGUAAAAUAUUGAUCGGUAAAUUCAAGUUUUAAAUUAGAAAAAUUGAAUAUUUUUAAAAAUAGAAGAAUUGGCUAACUAUUUACAACUCAUACCAAAAUUUUAAUACAAAUCCAAAGUAUCUAUUUUUUAUUUUAUUAUUAUUAUUAUUUUUUGCUAUAGGAUGUAAAUACUAUCUGUUUUCUUGUAAAUUUCUCUUACAAUCCUCUACGAGAAAGUCUUAAUUUUUAUAUUUAUGAUUUAUAUUAUAAUAUAAUUAUUUGGAACCAUAUAAUAAAUAAAAGGAAAAUUGUAAAACAUAACAUUUGACAAAAUAUCUUCGUAGAAAAAUUUGUUGUGUAAUCAAUUUUGAGGUUUUGUUAUAUGGAGCGUAAAUAUUUUGUCAAAUUUUCUAUUUGUGAAAAAAAAAACUUAUAGGUAAUUUGAAAGGUAAGUGAUCUUGUUUAAGAUCCAAAUUUCUUUUAUGAAAGUUUAAUUUAGAAUACAUACGAGAAAAAUAGAUUAAUCUAGAAUGAUAAAUGUAAGAUAGGUUUGGGAAGUACCAAUAAAUUUUAGGCAUGUGAUAGACUAUAACUGUGAAGAUAUAUAGUCUAUUGCUAUCUUGAAUGGCUCAUUCUUGUUUGAAAAUGACCUUAUUUAAAACACAACUUUUUUAUAAAAGAAAAUCCCUUGCAUCAUUCAAACAAUCUUACAAGAUCGUAUUAGUGGAAGAUGAGAUAGAAUUCUGACAUGUGUAUUAUUAGUAUACUUGAAUAGUUUCUUAUCUAACUUUUGAGCAAGUAGUGGAGAAGCUGAUCAUGAACCCUAAACCCACCGUAUCAUUCACUAUAUAAAGGAGAUCACUACAUGCAUUCUAAGGCAUCCCUUCUCCAAAUGGCUAUCUUUAGAACUUUCUCUUUCGGUUUUCUUUUGUUGGUGAGUUUAGGCUUAGCUUCUGCGACCAGAAGUCUUCUCACCUAUGAUCCACCACAUCACUCUGUAUAUGAUGAUCAUAACACUAAAGUAGGUUACGGACGUGACCAUCAUGAUCAACCUUAUGGUGGUGGUGUUGGUGCUAGUGGAGGAUAUGGAGCCGGAGCUGGCUCUGGAUAUGGAGGUGUAGGAUACGAACAUGACCAUCAUGAUGGAUACGAACGUGAUCAUGAUCGAUCUUAUGGUGGUAGUGCUGGUGGAGGAUAUGGAGUUGGAGCUGGCUCCUCUCUUGGAGGCUCUGGAUAUGGAAACGUAGAUCAUGGGGUUGGUUAUAGCAAUGGUGGAAGUGGUGGAUAUGGAGCUGGUGUUGGCUCUGACCUUGGUGGUAGCGGAUAUGGAAGCGGUAAUGGCGGAGCAAGUGGAAGUGGAAAUGGUGAUUUAGGAGGACGUGGAAAAGGCUACGGUCGCGGUGGUGUUGGAGGAAAUGGAUAUGGAGGUAGAGGAGACCAUGGCCGAGUAGUAGGCCAUGAUGAUGUAGUUUAUGGUGGUUCCAAAGGAUAUGGAGGUGGAAGUGGCGUCGGUGGGGGAGCUGGUUAUAGCGGUGGAGCAAGUGGAAGUGGAUAUGGAAGUGGUGGUGGAGCUGGAAGUGGAAGUGGCUAUGGCGGAAGUGGUGAAGAAGGAGGAUAUGAUGGUGGAUAUGCACCUUAAAUAAAAGGGGCUAAAACAUCAUCUAAAAGCUUAUCGUUAAAACGAUAAUACUUACCUAAAUAUCAAUGUUUGUUAGCAAAAAUAAAGAAUUUAGGUAAGAAUGUUAUGUUCCUCUUUUGAAUUUUAGUAACUUCAAUGAAUGUGAUAUUAUAAAAACUAGCUGUUUCAUGGGGUUCUAAAGACCAACAAACAUGCAUGAAAUACUGAGUUAAUACAACGUACGCCAUUCCAAACGUGCUAUUUUAUGGAUUCCAAAGUUGACUUUGAACUAAGGACUAAAUAAUCCUUUAACACCUUCUAAACACAAAUUAUUUCACAGACGUCAAGAUCAGUUAAUCAAGUUAAAACUUAAUAGGUCAAAUUCAUCAUUCCAAAAUGACUUGUAGAAAAAUUUUGAGACUUAGUUCGAGUAUGUUAAAUUCUAAUGUUACGAAGUUUUCUUAACAAAAUUGAGAAGGAGGUUGGGAUGGUGGAUAUGCACUCAAAAAUUUCAUCUCAAAAGAGAAUUGAGAAACAUACUUUUCAAGUAACAAACCCAAUAUUCAUAUUAAUUGGGCAACAAAAGUAAGGAAAUAGGGGUAAAAAGAGAACAUUGUUUUCUAAAUAAUCUAUGUCGAGGUUUGCUUCUUGGCCAUGAAAUUCGAACCAAUUAUUCAAUGAUAAGCAAAUUUGGAUUAAGUAUGCAUGUGUAAUGUGACAAAAUUAUUCAACCACAUUCACGUUAUUUUGCUUUCCUAAUCAUAUUUAUGAAAUAAGAUGGUUUCAUCUUUCAAAAUCAAUACACAAUUACAAAAGUAGUAAUACUUCUAUCUUAUAAACAAUGUUGAUCUCUUGAAUUUUCCAUGUAUGGAAUUAUCAACAUUCUCCGCAUAUUGUUCUAGGUUAUUUUUUUAACCAGUGUAAUCAACCUCAAACAAAAACAAAAGUGACAAAACCAAGAAAAUAACAAAAUUUUCACUUAAAUAAAAGAGGGAAAAAAAAUAGCACAUCCUAUAAGCCAAAAUAAGGGCGAGGGGUUUAGGGUUUAGGGUUAUUAGACCAAGACUACCAAAAUGUCUAAUGACUUUUAUAACGAAACAUCUAGUUUAGAUUGAUACAUAUGAUAUGUAGCAUCUUCACAGCAUCCAAGAUCAAGAGUCGAUAUAUUAUCAUGAAAAGAAAGUACAAAAGGGAAGUUAGGGAAAAACUUGGAGUCAACGUUAAGAGAACCAUUAAAAGUUUUAGAAGUUCAAUUAAUAUUUGUAAAAUUUUAAGAGCUAAAUUUUUAUAAUCCAACGUUUGAGGUCUAGUAAUUGCAAUUGACCAUCAUACUUCAGGGAUAAUUUUUGAAAAUUUCCUUUUCUAUUAUUAAAUUAUCAAGAAAAAAAAGUUUAAUGACGGUCAAAAUAAUCCCUGGCGUCCAUAUAAUAAUUUUCAAUAACAUUUCACGACACUAAAAAAAAUUGGAACUUUGCUCACAUUUUUCUAAGAAACGUAAAUAUUUUGUCAACUUUACUAUAUAUAUAUUAUUGUUACUCUUUUAAAAACUUAAGUAAUUUUGAUUCGACCAAUUUUUUUUGCUAUCAACUACAAUUGUUAAAAAAUAUAUAUAUACGAAAAAAAAUGGUUAAUUUUCAUUCACAAAAUAUUUAAAAAAGUAAAAUUUUAAAUUUGUCUCGUAUCUUUUGGAAUAAGGUUUGUCUUUAAUUAAGGAAAUUUAAAAGUUGCUAAAACAUAGCUAAAUUAAACAAAAGUUACUUUUUUAAAGAAAAUUUUUUAAAUAACAAAAUUAUUAAAAAUAUAAUUAAAUUAGAAUUUUUGAAUCUAUUAUUGAUAUAAUUAAGAAAAGUCUAUCAACAUAUAUCAAUUCUAAUAUUUUAUUAUAUUUUAAUUCAUUUGGUUAUAUUUAACAACUCAUUCCCACACAAACUAUAAUUCAAAUUAAAAACAUAUUUGAACAAAUAUUUUGUAUAAUUUAAGUGAUGAAUCGCACUAAUAUUGUUAAAAUGUGUUUAAAAUGUGAUACUUUUCCCACCAUAUUUUAUAGCAAAUGGCAGAUAAUUUAAUGUUUCUUUGAAGCAAGAAUUAGGCAAAGAAGCAUAUAUAUAUAUAUAUAUAUAUAUAUAUAUAUAUAUAUAAUAUAUAUAUAAUAUGUAAUUAAAUUUUAUAUUAUAGUUAUGCAAAAUCGUUUCAUAAGCCACUUCAUCUCUCUCUAUUUCAUGGCAUCAAGUAAACAAAAAGGGAAAAAGGGAAAAAGAGACCUAAUAAAAUAUGUGUUCUUUAAUUGGUGGAUUUUUAAUUAGCAUUAUUAAUUAAUCAAUCAUGUAAAUAUCCUACAAAGAAUAUUUGUUCUUAAGAUAAUUCAUUGCAUGAUGAAUCAAAAUUUUAGGUUGGGUGUUCCUGUAUACUUAAAAACAUUAUUGCAUUACCAAAUUAAAUUUAUACAAACCAAACGAUAUCAUUUUGUUCGUAUUAAGUUCGUUUAAGUUUAGAUGGUAUAUGAAAGUUGGUUUGUUAUGUUUAGGUUUAUUAAACAACAUUGUAUUUAGACGAUAGUGUAAACUUUAAGUUGUUAAACAUGUGUUUUAUCUUAGUCUAAUGUCGUCUAAUACAAAUAUAUUAUGAUACUUUUUAAUAUUUAAAAAUAUUUUUAGAAGUUUUAUAAAUUAAAAUAAUUUUUCUAAAAAUUAAGUUUCAUCAUUUUUAAGAGGAGAAAAGACACCCUAAACAUAAAUUAAAGAAAAUAGAAUGAUAUUGUAUUAAUUACAUAAAUUUAAUCAAAAAUUAAGAACUAAAAAUAAAAUUGUUAUCAAAAUGAAAAUUCAUUUUAACAUUCAAACCAUCCAAAAAAAAGAACAUCUAAUUACUCUAUUGUAACAGAAGUUUUAUCCUCUUAAGAAAAAAAUAGUUUAAUGUUAAAAGAGUAUACAAAACGUGUUAAUAAGUACACAACUCAAUUAGCAUAAAGCUUAAAUUUUAUUUAGAUCAAGACUCAAAUCUAUGAGAUCACAGGAUAUUGCAAAUUUAGGAUUUUAGGUUAUCGUUUAAAGUUCUAAAAUAUUGCAAAAUGGUGCAAGUGGGAAGAUGGGAUCCAAAUCAAGUAUGGAUAUGAUUUAGUUCCAAUUAUAAUUUAAGGUUAUAGUUUAAUGAUUUAGUUACAACACUUUAGUGUUUUGCCUCUUGAACUUCCCUUAAGCUAUAAUCCAUAAUUAAUAAUGUUUUUGAGCACGUGCCUUCUCUUUAAUUGCCACUAAGGUACCACACUAUAGAGAAGAGCUAAUGAAUCCUUGUUUUCUAUAUAAGGAGAUGGAUCAAUGCAUUCUAAGCAUAUACUCCUAUCCAUGGCUAUUUCUAGAGUGUUGUGCAUUGGCUUUCUUCUUUUUGUGGGGUUAGGGUUAGCUUCGGCUGCCCGAACUCUUCUUGAUUAUGAUCCACGUGCACGUCGUUAUGAUUACGAUCGUCCUACUCCAAGAGUAGGAUACGAUCCAAGCCAUCGUGAUCAAUCCUAUGAUAAUGUAUAUGGUGGAAGCUCUAGCAGAGGAUAUGGAGCUGGAGACUCUGCUCUUGGAGGUUCGGGACGAUAUGAAGGUGGUGGAGGACGUGAUUACGGACAUGGAGGCCGAAAUGAUGAUCGUGGUGUUGGAUAUGGAGGUCGAAAUGAUGAUCGUGGUGCUGAAUAUGGAGGUAGAAAUGAUGAUCAUGGUGCUGGAUAUGGAAGUCGAAAUGAUGAUCGUGGUGUUGGAUAUGGAAGUCGAAAUGAUGAUCGUGGUGUUGGAUAUGGAAGUCGAAAUGAUGAUCGUAGUGUUGGAUAUGGAGGCCGAAAUGAUGAUCGUGGAGUUGGAUAUGGUAAUGGUGGUGGAUAUGGAGGUGUAGGAGGACAUGGUGAUGGUUAUGGUAACAAUGGUGGUGGAAGCUAUGGAGAUCGUUAUGGCCCUUCUCUUGGAGGUUCAGGAUAUGGAAGUGGAGGAAAAGGAAGUGGCAAUGGCUAUGACGAUCAUUCUCGUGGAAAUGGUGCGCGUGACAAUAGCUAUGGAGAUUCUCAUGGACAUGAAGGACGUGACAGUGGAUAUGGAAGUGGUGGAGGAGUUAGUGGAGGCUAUGGCAAUGGAGGAGUUCAUGGAGGGGAGCAUGAUAAUAGCAAAGGAAGUGGAGAAGAAGGGGGUAGGGACGGUGGAUAUGCUUUCAAAAAUUCCAUCUCAAAGGAGAAUUGAGAACUCUUUUUCAAGUAAUGAACCCAAUAUCAUAUUAUGUUAACAAAAAAAAUAAAGAAUUGGGUAUAAGAGAAUGUUGUUUUCUAAAUUUAUGUUGAAUUUGUUACCAACGAAUGUCAAAUUCGAAUCAAUGGGUACAAUGAUAAUCAAAUUUAGGUUAUGUUUAUUGUGAUAAAUUUAUUGCACUCUUAUUUGUUUUGUUUCUCUAUAUAUAUUUUUUCUAUAUAUCCAUAUUAAUAUGGGUGGUUUUGGACCGAAGAAAAAAACAUCAUCUAAAAGUUUUUCGUUAAAAUCAUAUAAUUCUUACCUAAUAUCAAUGUUUGUUAGCAAAAAGUAAAAGAAUUUAGGUAAGAAUGUUAUGUUUCUCUUUGAAUUUUAGUAACUUUUUCAAUGAAGUUGUGAUAUUAUAAAAUCUAGUCAUUUCAUGAAGUUCUAAAGGCAAACAAGCAUGCACCAAAUACUCUAGCUAAUACAACGUACGCCAUUCCAAACGUGCUAUUUUAUGGAUUUCAAAGUUAAACUUUGAAACAAUCUUUUAAUACGUUCUAAACACAAAUUAUUUAACAUAAAUCAUGGGCUAAUCAAGUCCAAACUUAAUAGAUCAAACUCAUCAUUCCAAAUGUCUCCUACAUAACUUGUAGAAAAUUUUAAGAUUUAGUUCGAAUAUAUUAAAUUCGAUGUUCCAAGUUGUUUUAACAAAAUUGAAAAACUUCACCAUUAUUUUGAGAUUUUUUUUUAUGAUUACAUCCUUUAAUUUAUUGAAUAAUUAUAAACAAUCUUGGUUUCAAGAGAAUUAUAUUUACGCAACGAUCAUUUGCAGAUGUUCAAAAUAUUUCUACCCUCAAUUAUACUUACAGAAAAACAUUUGUUGCACUUAUCUCUUCCAAACCAUAAUAGUUUUUAGGAAAAGAAAAAAGAGACAUGUUUAUGAAAGAAAAUUAGGCUACGAUGCUCAUUGUCGUGGAUAUGGAGCGCGUGACAACGGGUAUGGGAGGUGGAGGAGUUAGGGGUGGCUAUGGUGGUGGUAGCAAAUUGAAGAGAUGGUUAUGGUAAAUAGAGAGGUGUUCAUGGAGGAGAAUAUGAUAAUGGCAAAGGAAAUGGAGAAGAAGGAGGUUGUGAGGGUGGAUAUGCACUCAAAAUUAAUUCCAUCUGAUCAAAAGAGAAUUGAGAAACUUUUUUUUUUUUUUUGUAAGUAAUGAACCCAAUAUUCAUAUUAAUUGCACAACAAAAAAUAAAGAAAUUGGGUAAGAGAGAACGUUGUUUUCUAAAUCUUAUGGGUGGAAGGUUUGCAUGUUCGUGAAUGUAAAUAUCAAAUCAAUUUUUUAAUGAUAAGCAAAUUUGGAGUAAGUGUGCAUUUAUACUGUGACAAAUUGAAUCAACCACAUAUACGUUAUUUUGUUUUUCCAAUGAUAUUUAUUAUAUAAGAGGAUUUUAUCUCAAAAUCAAUCAACAAAUACGUGAAUAGUAAUACGUCAAUUUUAUAAACAAUAAUGAUGAUCUCUUGAAUUUUUCAUGUGAAAUUAUCAACAUUCUCCAUGUAUUGUUCUCGGUUAUUAUUUUUGUAACCAAAGUGUAAUCCUCCAAAAAAAUACAAAAUUGACAACCAAGAAAAUAACUAAAUUUUCAUUUAAAAAGAAAAAAGAGAAUAGCAUAUCAAAUAUCAAAUAGCCAUGCAAAAUAAGCUUAACUAGGGGAGAGGGAGUCUAUAAGUCAAAUUGCAUAGUCUAAACCAAGGCUAACAAAUGAAUGAUGAUCCUACGAUAAAAUAUCUUAAGUAGAUUGAUACAUAUGAUAUGUAGCAUCUUCACCGCAUCUAAGAACAAGAGUCGAUGUGUUAUCACAAAAAUAAAAUACAAAAGGGAAGUUUGGGAGAAAAUUAGAGUUAUAAUAAUGUUGAGAGAGAUCCAAUUAAUUAAUACUCUUAAAAUUUUAAGAGAUAAAUUUUUAUAUUUGAGAAUUUAAAUGUGUAAUUGCGACUAAUUAACCAAUCGUGUUGAUUUUUGCAAUUUACCUUUUUUUAUUAAAUUUUCAAGAAAAAAAUAUUUAAUGACGAUCAAAAUGAUCCAUGACGUACAUACAAUUAUUGUCAAACAUUCCAUGUUACUAAAAGAAAAUUGAAACUUUCUCCAACGUUAUAAAUAUUUUAUCCACUUUACUAUUUUUUUUAUUAUUUCCCUAAUUUUGAUUCAAUCAAUUUUCUAGCUAUCAACUACCAUUCUUUAAAAAAAAAUCAAAUAUACAAAAAUAAAAAAUUGUCAAUUUUCGUCCAAAAAAAUUUUAAAAUAAAAUUUGGAAUUUGGAAUAUGGUACCUUUUGGAAUAAGUUUUAAAGCCUUUGAUUAAAAAAAAAAAGUUGCUUCAACCAAAAUCAUUGUAAAUAAUGUUGAAAUUAUAAAAUUAUUAAAAAUAUUUAUAAAUAUAGACAAACUAAAAUUUUAGAAUCUACCGUUGAUGUAACUAAUAAACGUAUAUCAGCGUCUACCGAAUAUAUUCUAAAAAACGGUAAUAUUUUAUAAAUAUUUUAGUAUGUUUACCCUUUCACAAACUUAAUUAAAAUUAUAAUCCAAAUCAAAACCUAUCCAAACAAAUAUUUGGUGUAACUUAAGGGAUGAAUCGCACUAAUAUGACUCAAACAUAUUUUGAGAAACGUGUUUAAAAUGUGAUAAAUUUUUCCACAAUAUUUUAUAGCAAAUGGCAAAUAAUUUAAAGUUUCUUUGAAGCAAGAAUUAGGCAAAGAAGCAUGUAUAUAUAUACAUAUAAUGUAAUUAAAAUUUAUAUUAUAGUGAUGCAAAAUCGUUUCAUAAGCCACUUCAUCUCUCUCUGUUUCAUGGCAUCUUAAGUACACAAAAAGAGAAAAAGGGAAAAAGAGACCUAAUAUAAUAUGUGUUCUUUAAUUGGUGGAUUUUUAUUUAGCAUUAUUAAUUCAUCAAUCACCAAGAAUAUUUAUUCUCAACAAAGUUAUUGAAUGAUAUUAAAUUUACAAGAACUAAAUGAUAUAUCAUUUCGUUUCAUAUUAAAUUUUUGUAAGUUUAGAUAAUUUAUGAAAGUAGGUUUGUUAUGUUUAGGUUAACUAAACACAUACAUGUUAAAUUGAAUAUGUGUUUUAUCUUGGUCAAUUGUGCAAAGUGGAUCCGUGGCGCAAUGGUAGCGCGUCUGACUCCAGAUCAGAAGGUUGCGUGUUCGAUUCACGUCGGGUUCAAUGUCCAUUUUUUAUUUUAGUCAUUUGUGAUCACAAAUAAAUUUAAACCUCAUAAUCAUUGCAUUUUAGGUUAUUGUGUAAAGUUAUAAAACAUUACAAAGUGGAACAAGUAUUGAUAUGAUUUCGUUCCAAUUAUAAUUUAUUUUUAUAGUUUAAUGAGACAUACGAAAAAGCCAACACUUUAGUAUUUUGCCUCUUGAACUUUACUUAAGUUAUAUAUAAAAAAUUAAUAAUGUUGUUGACCACAUGCCUCCUCUUUAAUUGCCACUAAGGUACUACACUAUAGAGAAGAGCUAAUGAGUCCUUGUUUUCUAUAUAAGGAGAUGGAUGAAUGCAUUCUAAGCAUACAUUCCUAUCCAUGGCUAUCUCUAGAGUGUUGUGCAUUGGCUUUCUUCUUUUUGUAGGUUUAGGGUUAGCUUCGGCUACCCGAACUCUUCUUGAUUAUGAUCCACGUGCACGUCGUUAUGAUUACGAUCAUCCUACUCCAAGAGUAGGGUACGAUCCAAGUCAUCGUGAUCAAUCAUAUGAUAAUGCAUACAGUGGAAGUUCUAGUAAAGGAUAUGGAAUUGGAGACUCUACUCUUGGAGGUUCUGGACGAUAUGGAGGUGGCAAAGGACAUGAUUCCGGAUAUGGAGGUCGAAAUGAUGAUCGCAGUACUGGAUAUGGAGGUCGAAAUGAUGACCGCAGUGAUGGAUAUGGAGGUCGAAAUGAUGACCGCGGUGCUGGAUACGGAGGUCGAAAUGAUGAUCGCGGUGUUGGAUAUGGAGGUCGAAAUGAUGAUCGCGGUGUUGGAUAUGGAGGUCGAAAUGAUGAUCGUGGAGUUGGAUAUGGUAAUGGUGGUAGAUAUGGAAGUGUAGGAGGACAUGGUGAUGGUUAUGGUAACAAUGGUGGUGGAAGCUAUGGAGAUCGUUAUGGCCCUUCUCUUGGAGGUUCAGGAAAAGGAAGUAACAAUGGCUAUAACGAUCAUUCUCGUGGAAAUGGAGGACGUGACAGUGGCUAUGGAGAUUCACAUGGACAUGAAGGACGUGAGAGUGGAAAUGGAAGCGGUGGAGGAGUUAGUGGUGGCUAUGGUAAUGGAGGAGUACAUGGAGGAGAGUAUGAUAAUAGCAAAGGAAGUGGAGAAGAAGGGGGUAAUGAUGGUGGAUAUGCUGUCAAAAAUUCUAUCUCAAAGGAGAAUUGAGAAUUCCUCUUUUUCAAGUAAUGAACCCAAUAUCAUAUUAUGUUAACGAGAAAUAAAGAAAUUGGGUGAGAGAAUGUUGUGUUUUAAAUUUAUGUUGAAUUUUCUUUGAAUAAUUCGAAUCAAUAGGUACAAUGAUAAUCAAAUUUGGAUUAUGUUUGUUGUGACAAAUUGACUGUACCCUAUUUUGUUAUAUUUCUCUAUAGAUUUUUUUAUAUAUAUCCAUAUUAAUACGGGUGAUUUUGAACUGAAUCAAAUGACAUAAACAAAGAGAAAAAAAUAUUGUCUAAAAGUUUAUUUGUUAACACCUUAUAAUUCUUAGUAACUUUUUCAAUGAAUGUGUGAUAUUAUAAAAAUAAGUUGUUUCAUGGGAUUCCAAGGAUGGACAAAAGAUGCAUAAAAUACUCUAACUAAUAAAAUGUACACCAUUCCAAACGUGCUAUAUUUUAUGAUUUUCAAAGUUAAACUUUGAAACAAUCUUUUAACACCUUCUAAACACAAAUUAUUUAUCAUACAUGGUGGGCUAAUCAAGUCCAAACUAAUUAAUAGGUCAAACCCAUCAUUCCAAUUGUCUGCUACACGUAACUUAUAAAAAUUUUCAAGAUUUAGUUUGAAUAUUUUAAAUUCAAUGUUUCAAGUUUUUUUAACAAAAUUGAAAAAACUUCACCAUUUUCUUGAGAUUUUCUUAUUAUGAUUACAUCCUUUAAUUUGUUGAAUAAUUAUGUACGAUCUUGUUGCAAGAGAAUAAUAUAUAUAUAUUAUUAUAUUAUAUAUAUACAUACAUUCAUUCAUUUAGGUUUAUGUGGUUCAAAAUCUUUCUACCCUCAAUUAUACUUAAAAAGCAUUGGUUGCACUCUUCUCUUCCAAACCAUGAUAGUUUUUAGGAAAAAAAAGAAACAUGUUGAUGAAAGAGAAUUAGACUACGAUGAUCAUUCUCGUGGAUAUGAAGCGCGUGACAACGGAUAUGGGAGUGGUGGAGGAGUUGGUGGUGGCAGCGAAAAAGGUGGUUAUGGUAAUAGAGAGGUGUUCAUAAAGGAGAAUAUGAUAAUCGGAAAGGAAAUGGGGAAGAAGGAGGUUCUAAUGGUAGAUAUGCACUCAAAAUUAAUUUCAUCUAAUCAAAAGAGAAUUGGAAACUUUUUUUUAAGCAAUGAACCCAAUAUUCAUAUUAAUUGGGCAACAAAAAUAAAGAAAUUGGGUAAGAGACAACGUUGUUUUAUAAAUCUUAUAUGUCAUUAGUUUACUUUUUGGUGAAAGUAAAUAAUUUGGAUUAAGUAUGCAUUUGUAUUAGAACAAAUUGAAUCCAACCAUAUACACAUUAUUUUACUUUUUUAAUAAUAUUUUUUAUUAAAUUAGAUGGUUUUAUUUUAAAAUUAAUUGAUAAUUACGUGAAUAGUAAUAUGUAUAUCUUAUAAACAAUAAUGUUGAUCUCUUCAAUUUUUUAUAUGCAGAAUUAUCAACAUUCUCCACCUAAUGUUCUAGGUUAUUUUUGUAAUCAAAGUGUAACUCUCAGACAAAAACAAAAACGAAAAAACCAAGAAAAUAACUAAAUUUUCAUUUAAAAAGAGAAAAAAGAAUAGCAUAUCAAACAUCCAUCCAAAAUAAGCAUAAUUAAGGGAGAGGGGGCCUAUACGUCAAUUGCUUAGUCUAAACCAAGACUAACAAAUGCCUUGUCCUAUGAUAAAAUAUUUAUAUUUCAAAGAUACAUAUAUUUUCACUACAUCCAAGAUCAAGAGCCAUUGUAUUAUAACAAAAGAUUGUACAAAAGGGGAGUUGGGGAGAAACUUAGAGUCAUAAUGUUCAAAGAGAUCUAAUUAAUACUUGUAAAAUUUUAAGAGCUAAAAUUUUGUAACAGAGAUUGAGAGUGUAAUCGCAACAAAUAAUCAUACUUCAAUGGUUGAUUAAUUUAUCAAGAAAAGUUUUAAAAAAACAUUUAAUGACAGUCAACAUCAACCCUUUCACGUCAUUAAAAGAAAAUUGGAACUUUGCCCACAUUUCUUUAUUAUUUUGCUAUUAAAAAUUAAUUUUGAUUCAAUCAAUUUUUUAGUUAUCAACUACUAUUCUUAAAAAAAUAUAUAUAUAUACAAAAAUUACGAAAAAGAAAUAUUACUUCUCAAACAAGAAUCAUCUUAAAUAAUCAUCCUAUCCAUUUUAAAAAAUAUAUAUAUUUUCAAUAAAUUAAAUAAUAAAAUUAUUGAAAAUAUUUAUAAAUAUAACUAAAAUAAAACUCUAAAAUCGAUGGAGGAUGUAACUUAUGAAAGUCUAUUAGCAUCUAUCAUUAACAUAUUCUAAAAUAUUUUUGUAAAUAUAUUUUGUUUCAUUUUGCUAUACUUAAAAAUAACCUUCCACAAAUUUAAAACUCAAAUUAAUCAAAACCAAUCCCAACAAAUAUUUUGUAUAAUUUAUGCGAUGUGCAUAAAUACGCAUUUUCCCACCAUAUUUGAUAGCAAAUGGCAAAUUAUUUAAUGUUUGUUUGAAGCAAGAAUUAGGCAAAGAAGCAUAUAUCUAUAUAAUAUGUAACUAGAUCUUAUAUUAUAGUGAUGCAAAAUCGUUUCAUAAGGCACUUCAUAUCUCUCUGUCUCAUGGCAUCUUAAGUACACAAAAUGAGAAAAAGGGAAAAAGGGCCCUAAUAUAAUAUGUGUCCUUUAAUUGGUGGAAUUUUAUUUAGCAUUAUUAAUUAAUCAACCGUGUAAAAUAUGGUAGGAAGAAUUAUUCUAAUGAUGAAUGAAAAUUUUAGGUUGGGAGGUCCCAUAUAUGAAGCAUAUGAGAAAUUUUCAAUCUUAAAAGAGUGAAUUAUCAAAUUAAAUUUACAUGAACGAAAUGAUAUAUCAUUUGGUUUGUAUUAAGUUUGUUUAAGUUUAGAUGAUUUACGAAAAUAGGUUUGUUAUGUUUAGGUUGACAAAACGACACUGUAUUUAGAUGAUGGUGUAAAUUUUAACAUGUUAAACAUGUGUUUUAUCUUGGUUUAUUGUGAUCUAAUACAAAUAAAUAUCGUUAUUGAAUUUUAGGUUAUCGUGUAAAGUUGUAAAAUAUUACAAAGUGGUGCAAGUGGGAAAAUGGGAUCAAAAGGAGAGUAUUGAUAUGAUUUCGUUCCAAUUAUAACUUAUUUUUUUAGUUUAAUGAGACAUAGGAAAAAGCCUACACUUUAGUGUUUUGCCUCUUGAACUUCCUUUGAGCUAUAUAUCCAAAAUUAAUAAUGAUUUUUUAGCACGUGUCUCCUCUUUAAUGGCCUCUAAGGUACCACACUAUAGAGAAGAGCUAAUGAAUCCUUGUUUUCUAUAUAAGGAGAUGGAUCCAUGCAUUCUAAGCAUACAUUCCUAUCCAUGGCUAUUCCUAAAGUGUUGUGCAUUGGCUUUCUUCUUUUUGUGGGUUUAGGGUUAGCUUCGGCUGCCCGAACUCUUCUUGAUUAUGAUCCACGUACACGUCGCUAUGAUUACGAUCAUCCUACUCCAAGAGUAGGGUACGACCCAAGUCAUCGUGAUCAAUCCUAUGAUAGUGCAUACAGUGGAAGUUCUAGUAAAGGAUAUGGAGUUGGAGACUCUGCUCUUGGAGGUUCUGGACGAUAUGAAGGUGGUGGAGGACGUGAUUCCGGAUAUGGAGGUCGAAAUGAUGAUCAUGGUGUGGGAUAUGAAGGUCGAAAUGAUGGUCGUGGUGCUGGAUACGGAAGUCGAAAUGAUGAUCGCAGUGCUGGAUAUGGAGGUCGAAAUGAUGAUCGUGGUGCUGGAUAUGGAGGUCGAAAUGAUGAUCGUGGUGCUGGAUAUGGAGGUCGAAAUGAUGAUCACGGUGCUGGAUAUGGAAGUCGAAAUGAUGAUCAUGGUGCUGGAUAUGGAGGUCGAAAUGAUGAUCGUGGGGUUGGAUAUGGUAAUGGUGGUGGAUAUGGAAGUGUAGGAGGACAUGGUGAUGGUUAUGGUAACAAUGGUGGUGGAAGCUAUGGAGAUCGUUAUGGCCCUUCUCUUGGAGGUUCGGGAUAUGGAAGUGGAGGAAAAGGAAGUGGCAAUGGCUAUGAUGAUCAUUCUCGUGGAAAUGGAGCACGUGACAAUAACUAUGGAGAUUCUCACGGACAUGAAGGACGUGACAGUGGAUAUGGAAGUGGUGGAGGAGUUAGCGGAGGCUAUGGCAAUGGAGGAGUUCAUGGAGGGGAGCAUGAUAAUAGCAAAGGAAGUGGAGAAGAAGGGGGUAGUGAUGGUGGAUAUGCUUUCAAAAAUUCCAUCUCAAACAAGAAUUGAGAACUCUCUUUUAAGCAAUGAACCCAAUAUCAUAUUAUGUUAAAGAAAAAUAAGGAAAUUGGGUAAGAAUGAAUAAUGUUGUGUUCUAAAUGUAUGUUGAAUUUACUUCAAAUGAAUGCUAAAUUUGAAUCAAUGAAUUAUGUUUGGAUUAUGUUUGUUGUUACAAAUUGAUUCCACCUUUCUUUUUGUUUUGUUUCUCUAUACAUUUUUCUAUAUAUCCAUAUUAAUAUGGAUUGAUUUUGGACCGAAUCGAAUGACAUAAUAAUCUAUGCCAAAUAAGAGUAAAACCACAUAGCCAAGAAAAUGAUAAGAGUAAAAGGAAAAAUAGUAUGUACAAUGUAAGACAAAUAAUUGUGUCUAGGAGAAGAGGGUGUUACUCAAGCCAAUGCAUUUAACCUCGACAAGACUCAACCUCAAGUUGAGCCUAACAAAAUGUCUAGUUGGGCAUACCCUUGUCAAAAUGCAUCACUUUAAUUAAGACUAAAAUAAACAUAUAGAGAAGGGAGUUUGAGCUUGAUAGGUCGAGACCAAUCCUAGCAGAAUAUUAAACAGAACUUGCCCUUCACAUGCCUCAACCUAAGUGAGUUGAAAAGGUUAUCGUAUCGUACCUCCAAAACUCUAUUCGGACAUAACCUAACUAAUUAACUAGGUUUAUUUAAUUCUACAAAUAAAUCAUUAGAGCUCUACAGAAACAAACUCUAUUCUCACUCAAUUUCUUUGACAUUUUUCAACUCUCUCUAAAAGCCAAAUAGGCACAACCCUAAAUCCUUACAUCUUCAAACCCUGUGUUUUAAUUACUAUGGAUAAAAGAGAACACAAAUCAAAUUUUACUUUCUUAUAUUUAGAUCAUAUUUCUUUUGAAAUUCAAAGUAAUGGAUAACACAAUAUGCUUCCAUUUCUAAUUUAAAUGAAAAUUUCAACAUUCCUAAUUACUGAUUUAUUUACACAAAAUAGCCCAAAGUAAAUAACUAUAAGUGAGUUUUCUUUACUAUUAUUUUGGUGAGUGAAGAUACUAUGAGUUUUUAUAUCACUAAAAUGUGAUAAUUUUUCCAACCAUUAUUGUAUUAGCAAAUGGGAAAUAAAUUAUUUAAUAAUGUAUCUAUAAAGUGGGAAGAAUUAGGGAAACAAAAUGCAUAAUUAAAUAUGUAAAAAAACUAUAGUAAUGCUAUGUCGUUUCAGAAACCAUUUGAAGAGUUAAGGAAAAAAGAGGGGAAAAAAAGCUCUAAUAUAAUAUAUGCUCUUUAGUCCUUUUUCUUAAAAAAAAAUUAAUGCUCUUUAAUUAGUUUGAAAUAGCCAUAUAAAUUAAAUAUCUUCCUAAAAGGAAAGAUGGGUUCUCAAGAAAAAAUAUAUUUCAAUGCUUCUUUUUCUUUUUCUUUUUCUUAAUCCUUGUUGAUGAAGAGAAUUCAGGCUUAAAAAUGGAGAAUUUCAUAUUUUCUAAUAUUUUACACUUUUUUCAACCUCAUAAACAAAUUUUGAUUAAAUGGUUGUAGUAAAGAUACUUUUCUUUUUUUUUCACCAAAAACAGCUUUAUUUUAUUUUAAUCUUCUGUCAUAUUUGUAUCGAGAAAAUUAAAUAAAUACUAUUUUUUUUCAAUAUAUUUAAUUUCGUUUUAAAAUAAAGGGAAAAUCCCUAGAAAUCAUCACUUUUCUCUUCUUCUUUGAAGACCCUCUUCUUUUAUGGUAUAACUUUCAUUAGUUGUUCUUAAUAUGCUUCUUUUAACUUUAACUGUCAAAUAUAUAUAUACACAUACAACGAUAAUUUAUCCUUAAUAUCAGAUAUAAAGUUUUUUUUAUGCAUGGCUCUAAUCCAAAAGACUUCAAAAAAAAAAUUACCAAAAUGUAAAUCGAUGAUGAGAAAUUAAAAAAUUGAUAUGGCUAAUGUUUAAUAAGCUAGAUUGAUUGAUAAGUUACUCAUCCCACAAUUACUUGAUUUUGAGAUGAAACGUCAAGUUAUCUAAUAUUAUAUCGUAACUCGCGAAAACAUAAACGAACAUUCAGAUCAAAAAAAUAAAUAUUGGAGUCCAAUUCAAGAAUGAUGAACCCAAAGAGAGACAUCAUUUAUCAAUGGUGUGUAUACUAGCCAAGGAUCUUAUCAUGCUAGAAUAAUUGAGGGACCUUUUAUGUUUAUAUAUAAGAUGUAUAUGUUUCUUCUCUUAUAUUUUAUAUUGGUUUUAAGAUGUAAAGCUCAUGUUAUCUAAUAUAUGAUGUCGGUUGUUCGAAAAUUCGAUGUAAAAAUAGUAAAUAAUCGAAAGAAGCACGGAUCCCAAAAGGACAUAUCAAGGAAACCUCACACCAUGCAUCUUUAUAAGUCCCUCACACCAUGCAUUCAAAAACUAUAAUUGAGGGACCUCACACCAUGUCAUGCAUCUUUAUAACGUCAAUCAUACAUAUCUAUUAUUAAUUUCCUCUCAUAUGGCUCAUGAUAUACUACGUGUAACAAUUUUUCAUUGCCAAGAAAUUUCCAAAUUGUAAUAGUGGUAAGUUAUGAAAUGAUUUUCUUACAAAUAUCUUCAUAGAUAAAUUAAUAAUAAAACAUCAUGUGUGAACGGCAGAAUCCAAUUGACUGAAAAAUCAUUUUGGAGUAAUAUUAUCGGUUGUGAGCACAAUCCUUUGAUCUAUUUGGUGGGAAAGAAACAGUAGAACCUUUACUUGAGAAGCUAUAAUUCUUACAUUUUUAUUAAUUAUCAUAUUACUUCGUCUUUAUUUUAAAAAUAUUCAUACAAGACAUGAGAGAUUAGCAUAGGCAUUCAAAUAUCAAUACCUUUGAACAAAAAAGCUUUUCCUUGGCCCUAAAAAAGUUGUACAACAAUUAACAAAACACUCCAAUAUUAAGGUUAAUAGGAAGAAUGCCUAAACUUAACUAUAAAAAUUGUUUGGAACUACAAAACUAAGCAAACUAAGGUGGCUAAACUCAACAUGAAAAUAAAGAAGAGUAAUUUAAACUUAGAUAUUUAUUCAUGUCACCUAAACUUUUAAAGUCGUUUUUGAUUGCAUGCUCCUCUAAACUUUAUCAAAUCUUGCGAGAUCAUGUAAGGGGAAAGAUGGAAUCAACUUAGCCUUACUUUAAUUUAAUAUGUUUUAGUACCACAUGUCAACAUAAAAUAAAGAAAUUAGGUUAGAGAGAAGGUUGUGAUCUAAAUCUAAGUACAUUAAUUAAUGUCAAAUUUCAAUCCAUGUUUGAAUGAUAAACAAAUUUGGAGUAAAGAAUAUUACUCAACCAUACAUAAGUAAGACUUCAACUCUAAUUGAAAGGGGCUGACAAGUAUAGUUACUCCUAAACUGUCUACAAAUAUUAAAUAUUAUAUGAAGACAAUAAAGUUAAGGGGAGUUCGAGUCCCCUAGACCUAUACUAAAUCCGUCGGUCAUGGUGAUGGUGCACAACACUCAAUUGUUCAACACAACUAUGAUGAAUUUUUUUGUUUGUUGGGAGAGAAAACACUAAUAUGUUUUAUUUCAUUAAAAUGUGAUAUUUUUGUCCCAUGAUUAUUGUAUAGAGAAAUGGGAAAUUAUAUAUAUAGUGUAAGCUUCAAGUGGGAAUUAGGAAACACAUGCAUAAAUAUAAAGUUACGAUAAUUAUAGUAAUGCAAUGUCGUUUCAGAAGCCCAUUAUUCAUCCUCUCAAUUAUCUCAUGCAUGGUGGCUCUCAUCAAGUUGAGAAAAAGGAAAAAAAAUAGGCCUAAUAAAAUAUAUGUUCUUUGUUUCUUGGUAACCAUUGUAAAUUAAUCGUAAUAUAAAUAUCUUCUAAAAGAGAAAAAAAGAAGACUCUCAAGACAAAUUAUCAUGCUUCGUCAAUCCUCUUUUUUUUUUUUUUUUUUUUCCUCAAUCUUUAAUGAUAGAAGAAAAUUUUAGCUCAAUAAAAUUGAAAUUUUUGUAUUUUAAAAAAUUUAUGAUGUUUUUUAACACGUGUAUAUAUAUAUAAUGAACAAUAUAACAAAAUAUCACAUUAAGUUUUACUAUAUAUUUAUAAAUAUUUUUUUAAUUAAUUUUUUCACUUAAUUUAAAAAUAUUUUUUCUAUAUAAAUAUUAUUAAUAAAGAACAAUUACAUUAGCUUCUCUUUUUACGUAUAACUCUUACUUUGGAUUGAACUUUUAACUCUUGAAAAGAGCAUUAGUGAGCCAAUUAAUUCACUUUGACUACAUAACUUUCUUUAGUUGCUUAAUAUAUUUGUUUUGGUGUUAAACUAUCAUUAUAACAGAACAAUUAGGAUAGUUUUCAUUUUCGUGUAUAACGUUUUUCUAUGGUCGAUAUCUAAGGAAAUAAUCAAAAAAACAAAUGUACUUACAAUAAAUUUCAUUGUGUCAUAAAAUGAAAUUUCCAAAUUAUGUAAGUGUUAAGUUGUAAAAGUUGAUAAUCAAAUUUCAAUGUGAAAUUAUAUAUUUUGGAAAUAUCUGCACCAUAGACAAAAAUUAAUAAACAAACUUCUCAAAAUUAAGUGUGUUAAUUAUAAGAGAAUGCCUAAACUUAACUAUAAAAAAAUAAGUUGGAGCCAAAACUAAUUAGCUAAAAUAUUAAGGUGAAUUUAUCACAAAAAGUACAAACAAGUGAAGUAAGGUGGUGUUGCAUAAAGCCUACUGAUUUUCAACUUUGGCUUUCUAAAUUUGAGCUCCUCACGUUUUCACACAAAAGCUUCUCACAACCUUUGAAUAAGAUCCUCUCAAAAGAACAUCAACUACUGAUGUAUUAAACUAAUAAAGAGCCAGCCUAGUUUACUUGACUACUAGUAACAUCCUCAACAGUGACGUACAUUUAAUUUCACAAACAGUGCGUAAGGAUUAAGGUUAAACAAUCUCUCAAAACAUGCACACACAGUAUUUUUAACAGAGCUAAUUAACCCUAAAAAUAAACAAAACUCAUAAUAUAUAUGGAAGCUGAUCUUGAGCAGAUAGGAAAAAAGAUUAUCAAAAAGAAUAGAAAAACAAAUUAAAUCAGCAGGUUUAAUUUUCCCUACACGGUUCAAUAGAUUAAGAAAAAAAUCUUGAUACAAAAUUCGAAGGAGAAAUAUAGAUUUUGACAGAAAAUGUUACAAAACAAGUUGCUCAAGUUUUGCUUGUAACAAAAUCCGCCAAUCGUAGUACAGUAACACAUAAGCAACUAAAAUGACUGAUCUCAACAAGAAUGGAAACACUAGAUAUGUUACAAGAGAACAUGCAUAAAUACAGUUUGGUCUAAUUAAAAAAACAGUGUCUUAGAUAACACAAGAAGGUAGAAAAAUAGAUGAGAGAGUAAUCAAACUUAGCUGACAAAUAUGGAUAUUAAUGAAUUUCACCUGAACUUUAUAUAGUUUUUCUUUACUCUUCUCUAAAUCUUACCAAAUAUUGCAAGAUCGUGUAAGUGGACAAUGGAAUAAUCGUAAUAAUCAAUUGAAGCCUUACAUAAAAUAUCGAUGUGUUUUAGUACCAAAAUCGAACUUUAGUUAGUACCUAAUAUGACAAAAGGCCUCACUACGUAGUAUUUUGCCUCAUGGACAUCCAUGGAGAAGUUGAUGAACCCACCACUUUUUUUAAACAUAUGACACCCUCUUUACCGUGAAGGACACCAUAGAGAAGUUGAAGAGACCCUCCACCCAUUUCCUAUAUAAAGAGAUCAAUGCAUGCAUUUUCUUGGCAUUCUACUCAUUCUCUAAUUCUCUCCAUGGCUAUCCUUAGAGCACUGUGCCUUGCCUUUCUUCUCUUUGUACGGUUAGGUUUAGCUUCGGCUACUAGAACUCUUCUUGAUUAUGAUCCACGUACACUUCAAUAUGGCUAUGAUCGUCCUAGUCCAAGAGUAGGGUAUGAUCCUGGCCAUGGGGAUGAAUCCUAUGAUAAGGCAUACGGUGGAAGCUCUAGUAGAGGACAUGGAAUUGGAGACUCUGCUCUUGGAGGUUCUGGAUACGAAGGUGGUGGAAGACACGAUUAUGGAUAUGGAGAUCGACAUAAUGAUCGUGGGGUUGGAUAUGGUAAUUAUGGUGGUGGAUAUGGAGGUGUAGGAGGACAUGGUGAUGGUUAUGGUAACAAUGGUGGUGGAAGCUAUGGAGAUCGUUAUGGACCUUCUCUUGGAGGUUCAGGAUAUGGAAGUGGAGGAAAAGGAAGUGGCAAUGGCUAUGACGAUCAUUCUCGUGGAAAUGGUGCACGUGACAAUAGCUAUGGAGAUUCUCAUGGACAUGGAGGACGUGACAGUGGAUAUGGGAGUGGUGGAGGAGUUACUGGUGGCUAUGGUAAUGGAGGAGUGCAUGGAGGAGAGUAUGAUAAUAGCAAAGGAAGUGGAGAAGAAGGAGGUUAUGAUGGUGGAUAUGCUGUUAAGAACUCCAUCUCAAAGGGAAAUUGAGAAACCCUUGGCUUCUUUUUCUUAUUAUACUAUGCCAGCUAAAAUAAAAAUAUGGGGUAAGGGAUCAAGAAUAUUGUUAUCUAAAUCUAUGUUUGAGUUGCUCUUGUAAUGAAUGUAAUUAAUGAUAUAAACAAAAUUUGGAUUACAUUUUGUAUGAACCAAGUGAUUGGACCAUAUACACUUCUAUUCUUAUUAACUUUGAUUUGAGUAACACAAGCAAUAAUUAAACUUUUUUAUUUAUGACUAAUUUUAAAACUUGGGUUAAUAAUGAUGCAAUAUACAUGAAGAUGUGGGAAGAGAAAGGUAUACAGAGUGUGGUGCUCACCCCACACUCAAACUUUGAUGAAUUCCUUUUUUAUUUUCUUUUUACAUAGUUUUAAAAUAACUUGACAUUUACUUCACAAGACUAAUAUCCUUUUCUAAUACUCAUUUAAAUAGUUUUUGUCAUGACGAGAUGGAUCCCAGAGUUGAUUAGUUUUAAAAUUUUACCUUUUCUAAUAUGACAAUGCUAUAAUCUUAAAUCGGUUUAGAAAAUCUAUUUUAGUAAUUGGAAACUCCUUUAGAUUUUUUUAAAUUCAUAUAAUCGUGAAAAUAUAAAUUAUGCAGAAGAGGUUUAGAAAACAAAAUUCAUGCAAUAGCCAAAUUUGCACUUCCUUUGCUAUUAUCAUACUCUCCUAUUUUUUUGUGAUUUUUCAUUUUUAACUAUAAUUUUACAUAUAUGUGCAUAUCAUAUAUAUAUAUUGGACAUGGUGCAUAAGCACUUUGAGAUUUAUAUAUCUCUCUAUAAAACGUGAUCAUUUUCCCUCCAUUAUUAAUUAUAGUAUUAUGAUAUCAAAUGGAAUAGAUUAUGUCUCAAGGUGGGAAUUAAUUAUAUAUUUAGCAUUGUAAAUGCAAAGUAGUUUGAGAAAACCCAUUUCUUCAUCUCAAUGAUCUAAAUGACAUAAACAAAGAGAAAAAUAGUAAUAAUUAAACCUAAUAAAUGUAUAAUAUAUAUAUGUGCGUGUGUUCUUUAAUAUUUUUACCUUGGUAGGUUUUUAAUUAUAUGCAUUAUUAAUUUUAAUAAUAAAUAUAUUUAAUUAUUACACCUACACUUAAAAGUUUUUUAUUUGCCCCAAAUCUUGGUAGAUCUUUCAAGCAAGUGGAAGGAUUUAGAUCAAAAGGCUAACUUAAAUAAUUGAUAUGAAAUUAGUUCAAAUCUACUUUUGGCCCUAAUCUUCUCACACCAAAAUUAUAUUGUGUUCCCCUACACAAUAGGGCUGCCUCUUCAACCUCUCUAUGAAGAUGAAAUGUCCUUUUUUAAGGAGAUAUUCAUGGAUGAUGCAUUAUUCUAAGCAAAUCUCUCCAGGAUUAAUAUUCCUAUUGGAUUUCCUUUUUCUUGUGGGUCGAAGAUUGAAGUUUUCUCGACUAUAGUUCUUAUACACAUCACUACAAUUCAUUACAAGCAUCAUAUCCUAAUCCAAAUGUAAAAUAUAGGAUCGUAUUUAUUGUGGUUGAACAUUUCAAAGUGUAAGAAUAUGAACAUCAACCACAACCUCUUAGAUUGAUUGUGUUUAUAUAAUGCAAAGACUAAAAGAGAUAUCAUUCCAUAAACCUUUAUAUAUAUAUAUAUAUAUAGAGAGAGAGAGAGAGAUAUAUAUAUAUAAAGAUAAAUUAAAUAACAUAUAUAUUUAGAAUACUCUAAGACGUAAUAUAAUGUUGGUAGUCGCAAUGCAAAAUCAAAGUUUUUUAAAUUGAUUUGCAUGUAAUGAUCUCACAACGAUCUGUUUCAUCUCACUUUCAAACCCAUCAGUUCAUUAGUAUUGGGCCUUGAUUAGCUCUCUAACAAAGCCCAAUAGUGUACAUAUUCAUCUCGAUUUUUCUAUGUUUUCUACCUCACUUUAGUUGUGUUAUAGGUCUCACAAUUUAGUAUUAUUCUAGAAAGUAAACUCAAGACGACGUCAAUCUGAUUUACAUGCUGUUAGGACGAGAGAAUUUUAUGUACAAACUCCAUAAUAUUUGAUUUAAUUCACUUGUCGACUUUUUAUAAAUUUGUGACUAGAAGUAUAUAUCUCGACUAUCUUUUGAUCAAUUUCUACACAGUUCUGUAAAUUUGUAUAAGAUGGAGGUUAUUUCAGCUUAUAGCCCUUGCGAUUAUGUAUUGCUUAUCUAAUUUGAGUUUGAAUAUGAGAAGUGUAUUGUAAUUGUAUAUAUCCAGUUAAAGUGUAUAAUCAGAUUGCUAAUGUAUAUAUGUUAGUAUAUGAAGAGAAGAAGAAGAAGAAGAAAUGUAAAGGUUGUUGAAGCUAAGUGUGGAACAAAAGGAGAGAUCCACUAGAGGGAAGCAAUAUGAGAUAAUGGAUCGACCCCACACGUUGUUAUGAUUCAAAACACUAAAGACAAAGAGAUUUGGGGAUUUGCAUGUGGGAAAUUCAUAAAUAUGUCCAUUAUACUUUCUCUUUUGCUGCUGCUUUUCUACUUCAUAGUUCACACAAACCCUUCUUUCUCCAAACUUACCCAAUUAUAUGUCACCUAACUUAGGUUAAAACAUAUAACACUACGAACCUCCGAGUCUACCUCCAAACGUUACUGUUAUAUUAUCAAAAUCUUGUGCUAAUUUAGUCUCUAUUGACAUUUUAUUUGUAUCAUACCUUUGAUAUUUUACUGAUCAUGGGAGAGAUAUUUGCUCCACACGCUCCUAUAUAGCAUUUCUUCGUAGUCUCUUUUAACCGUUAGAGCUAUCAAAUAGUGGCUCUUUCUUUAGCAACGGUUGUUAAAAAUGUAUUUUUCAAUGGCACUCUAUCUAAAGAGGGGUGUAUAUGAAAUCACCAUUGUGGCAGCUUUUCUUUCCCCUUAUAAAAUGUGUCUUCUUUAACACACGUCUUGUAUGGUCCUAAAACAAGUUUCACGCAGGUCUAGUUUCACCUAACUUGAGUUUACUUCUAAUUCUCACGAUACAACACUUUCUAUGAGUUAAACUCUUCAAGAAAUAUCGUUCCUCCUAUAUGCUGAUCAUAUGAUUAGUAUAGAUGAUGAUCCUUAAGCUAUAUCGAAUAUGCAAUGUUGCCUUAAAUGAUUCUCUAAUUAGGACCACUCCACUAUUUCCUUGGCCUUUGAAAGUUUCAUCCCCCUCUAAUGGGGUAUUCAUCUCAAGCAAAAUAUACUAAUUCUCAUCCCUAAGUAAAUUAUAAAUAUACUUUUGAUCUCCUAGCUCAUUCUAGUAUAUUACUGAGACCUUUGUUGAUCACGUCAUCAAAGACUACUAGAACUCUUUUUAACUCCUUUUGAUAGUGCUCUUCUCGAAAAUGCAACUCUAUAUUGACAACAUACUAGUAGUCUUAUUUAUCUCGUUGUGGGUUGAUCAAAUAUUGCAUAUAUUGCUCAGAUUAUUAUUUGGUUGCUUCAAUGCUAAUUUUGUUGGUGAGGAUCGGUGUUCUCAUUUGGUGUAGAUAUAAAAAAACAAACUACAGUAUCUCGCACUUGGUAAUAUUAUUUCUCAGUUUUCAUAUUGGUUUCUUGGAGUGUUCCUCAGUAGUCUACUAGUUAUAUUUGUGUGACCAUCGUAGUGCUUUUUUAGAUUGCAAAUUGUGUGGUUUCUUCUAGAAACAUACCAAGCACAAUAAAAUUGAUUGUCACUUUGUCCAUCAUCAUCUCCCAAGCAAGAUCGUUCUAUCCCCACUAAAUCAGUAACCCAUUGAAAUCCUCACAAAAGUGUUAUCCCCCAAACACUUCUCUAUCCUACUUCACAAACUCAAGUUGGUGUCUGCCUUUUUCCACUCAUAACAAAAAAGCACCUCACAUCUAAAACUUCAACCAUUUUCAAGUUACAAAAUUUACUCUUCUACUGUGACAGCCCUUUUAAGAAGAAUGGGUUUUCAAUAAUAGAAAACAAAGAUAACAAUAAAAUAAAGUAAAAGAUUUAUAAGAGAGUGUGUAAUUUGAAAUCAAGUUCAAAUUCAAUUAAUACAUAACUCUAAAUAUUAUCAAACUAGCUGCCUACUCUCAUGAUAAACUUUUUGUUAGUUUUUCACAAUGUGAAAAAACUUGGAAUAGUUUAAUUAUUCUCAACAUUAUUUAUAAAGUCGGUGACCUAAUUUCUUACUAUAAUCAUAUCAACUAGAGAUAGAUAUAGAAUGAAUGUUAGUUCAUUAAUUUAAUGAUGAGUAGUAGCUAGGUAAAUGAACUACUAUGUAUUCAACUAUUUGUUGAAUGUCCCAUCAAUCCAUAUCUAACUAAGAAAAUAACAUAAAAACAUUAAGUUAAACAAGUGAUGAAAAAAUUUGUUAUAUAUAUUUAUUUUAUUUCUUCGGACGAUAAUUUUUUUUUUAUUUGUAUGGGUGUUCUAAACAUUUUCAAACUUAAAAGUGACAAAAAUCGGUUAAAAGAUUGGUAUGUAACUAUAUUAGUCAUAACUUAUAAACUUUAGCUUUUGGGUUGAAAACAGUUAUUUAUGUGGUAUCAGGACAAGAAAAUUGUGUAUAAACUCCAUGAUAUUUGAUUUUUGGUGUUAUUAUCACCAAGCAUGUCCUCUCUUUCCUAAAUUAAAAAUUUUGUGUUAUUAUCAUAUGAAAGUCAGGUAUGUUUUCUUAUAUUUAAAUUAUUGAAAGUGAAUUAGGUUAAAAGUUUUUUAUUUCCUUCUAAUUUUUUUUACUUAAUAAAUUGUCUUGGUAAUUUUUUUUUUAAAAUAAUCAUAAGAAAGAGCAUAUGUUGAAUUGGAAAUAUAUCAACUAAGUUAACAAACCCUUACUACUAUCUGUCACAUCCUAACCAAAAGAGAUAAUAUUGUCUUGGUAAUUUUUAACCUUCAAUUUCCAAUUCAUCACAUGGAAGCUAAACAAAGGGGUUAUGGAGCAUCAAUAGUUCAAGUUGGUUGUUUGGUAGAAAACACUCAUUGAGGUAUGGGAAACAGCAAGAGGCACACUAAUGGAAGUUGGGCCUUUUUUCCUUCUCUUUUUGCAUGUGCUUAUAGCCCACUUAGAAGUUGAUACUUACUCCACCAAUUCCUAUAUAAAGGGAUCAGAAGAUGCAUUGUAAGCAUAGGCCUCGUGUUUUGAGUUCCUAUGGAGAAUCAUAGAGUACAAUUCCUUGCUUUGUUUGCUUUAUUGGGUUUAGGGUUAGCUUCGGCCGCCAGAACUCUUAUUGCUUAUGAUGGCGAUGUCCAUGCCCCUGUGUUAGGGCAUACUUCUGUUGGAUAUGGUGGUGGAGAAGGAGCUGGUAGUGGAUAUGGAGUUAGCGUUGGAUAUGGCGGUGGUGGAGGAGGAGGACGUGGUGGUGGGGGUGGUUCUACAAAUGGUGGUGUUGGAUAUGGAAAUGGUGGAGGUGAAGGAAGUGGCGCUGGAUAUGGAGGUGGAGAAGAACGUGGUUAUGGCAAUGGUGGUGGUGGGGGAGGGGGAGGAAGUGGUGGUGGUGGUGGUGGUGGAAGUGGUGUCAGAUAUGGCCCGGUCGGUGGUUAUGGAAGUGGAGAAGGAGGUGGUUCUGGUGGUGGUUAUGGAGGCGGGGGAUCGGGUUAUGGAGGUGGUGGAGGUGGUGGCGGUGGUGGAAAUGGAGGUGGUAGUGGUGGUUAUGGUGCAGGAGAAGCGAGCGGAGGAGGAUAUGGAAGUGGUGGAGGACAAGGAGGAGGCUCAGGGAGCGGAGGGGGAGGGCAUGGAGGCGGCGGAGGAGGCGGUUGGGGAGGUGGGUAUGGUAGUGGAGGAAAUGGUGGUGGAUAUGGAAGUGGCGGAGGAGAAGGAGGAGGCUCAGGGAGUGGAGCAGGAGGACAUGGAGGUGGCGGAGGAGGUGGCUCCGGCGGUGGCUAUGGUGGUGGUGGAGGUGCACAAGGAGGAGGGUACGGAGGUGGGGGAGGGAGUGGAGGAGGGGGUGGUGGAUAUGCACCUUGAUUCUAUUUUAUUAUCUCAACAAAAAGGAAAAUAAUUUAAGAAGAAGAAGAAAGGUUAUAAAGAAGAGUACUAUUGAUUACAUUUUAUGUUCUUAAUAAAUGAAGUUUACUAUAGGGAUGAUAGUGAUUGAAGAAUGGGAAAUUAGGGACUCUUAUUUCAUUUGGAAACCCUUCCUUUUGAUCAUCUUUCCCUAAUCUGUAUUUGUAUUUUGUGUCAUGUGAUUUUCAAUUCUAAAUAUGCAAUUAAUUGUAAUUGUGAUUUACAACUUUUCCAUUCAUUUGUGCUCCAUCUAAAUGUAUGUAAACAUGAGAUUGAUGAUCACUAUAUUCAUUCAUCCAACAUACAAAUUCAAUCGUUAUUUUUACCGAGUUUUAAAUUUCACAUUUGCAUAUUGUUGAACUAAAAAAAUAUUGCACCAACUUAUAUCUAUGAAGUUUAAAAUGAGUUUCGAUAUCUCUAUACCUAGUUAACAAUAUUUGUAGAUCAAUCAUAUUUUUCAAUCAAUUAAAACCGUUUAUUUUUGGUAAUUUAUUAUGUAUAUAUUUGAUAUAAAGAUUUAAAAUACGAUAGAAUCGCUUAAGUCAAUCAAAACAUAGCUUAAUAGAAUACCCUCACAAUCUUAACUCUUUCUCUUACGCACCACUAAACUCAAAAUAAUAAUAAUAAUAUGAUUUAAUUAAUUCAUAAACAUCAUAUAAUAUCAUAAAAGUAUUAUUAUUUUAGUUUAAUAGUGAGUUUGGCGUAGUUGAAUUUCAGAAUAUUUUUUUUUGGCUAAACUAUUUAAUUAUAACUAUUUUUACAAAAAAAAAAAAAAAAUUGUUUUAACAUAAGAUACAUAUUAAAUUCACUGAACGUUUAAGAAUUCUUAAUCAUUCAUGUCUUUAAAUUUUGAUUCUAUUUCAAUCCAAUCACCAUUAUUAACCCGAUAAAAUUUACAACAAAGUAGAUCACUAACAAGCAUGAUAUGAGAUAAGAUUCCAUUAAUAACAUUAAACGUAUAUAGGAAUCAAAUAAUAUUUUGAAAAGACCUAUGAACCAAAUAAAAGUGCAGUACAAAUUAAAACAAAAACAAAAGGUUCGAUACUCAAACUUUUAUUAGUUUAAAAACAAUUAGAAAAAAGGAUUAAAUUUUAACUAAUUUAUGAAUAAAAAGAUUGUCUUGAAUCUAAAGUGGAACCACUUGGGAAUUCAGGCUCUCUAUUGAUCAUAUCAACACUUCCAUCUUCUCUAAGCAUCACCAUAUUUGAUUUUAUUUUCUUGGCAUAAAACGCUCUAUUACCUCUUUGAUGCCUGCCCAUUUGUGUUCUUGUUUUUGUCAGUUCAUACAAAUAUAUAAUAAUUCCUUUUUUUCUCAAUAUCAAAUAAAUCACUAGACUUUACUGCUGCCUUCAAAAAUUGUGAAAUAUACUAAGAAUAUGACUUUCUUUAAAAAAAAAAUGUUUUUUACAGACAAAUGAAACAAACAUAAAUUUCAAGAACUAAUAAAACCAAUUUUGUUAUCUUUACUCAAAAGCUAAGGAUGGCAAUGAAAAAAUAUAUAUAAUAAUAAAUUAGAUUUAUUCAACUUUGAUAUCAUCACUCACUCAUCUUUGUUUUUUUCUUUUUUUCUUUUUUUCUUUUUUUACUUUCUCACUUUUUAACAAUAGUUCAAAACUUUAGCUAACGUUUAAGAAAAUAGAUAGAUGGCUCGAGAAUCAACUAGUUUAGAGCAAAUUCAUAGCGACAAGAUUAGAAAUUGCUUAAGAAUCGAAUCUUUGGACAAGACUAUAUAACUGUUUUAGUUGAAGAAAAUAGAGAAACGAAUGGUUGAGACAUGAGAGACAAAAUGUUUUGAAGUGUUUUUGAAAAAGUAUUUUAUAAUAAUAAGAAGAAGAAGAACAAUAAUGAUAAUAUAAUAAAAUAAAUUAACUUACUUAUCAAAUACAACCCAUGUUGCAUGAAGGCUUGAGAUUUGCUCAACAAUAAGCAAUCUAAGUGGAUGACCCAUUACUACUUUCUUUUGUGGCACAACCUGAGAAACAAAAAGAAAAAAGAAAAAGGUAAUAAUAAUACACUGAUUCAUUAAUAAAAUAUGCUUUGAAAAUAUUAACCAAAAAUGUAUAUACCCCAUAUUUCCUACAGAGUGAUACCACAGCUUCAAGUUUUGCAUAUUUGGCUUCACUAAUAUACUCUCUUUCCACUCCCUCAAAGGACAUCUCCUCCAAAUUUAUUGGCCAAAUAUCCAACCAAGUUUUUGAUGAAACUACAAAAAUUCAUUUAUGUAAUGAUAUUAAGAAAACGCUAGAACAAUCAUACAGUUCGAUGUUAAGAAAAACAGGUAAAAAAACUCACGAGGAAUAUUGAGCCACGGCAUUGCACCAACAAGAGUAACGAUGCAACCAGGCUUAAUGACGUUGUCCAAUGCCCACUUAAGUGGGUCCGUUGUGAACUCUUCCAUUCCAUCCAUGACGACCACUACAUGUCUACUUGCAGCCUCUGAUGUUGAGCUCAAAGUCGGUGUUGGUGUUGGUGUUGGAGUUGGAGUUUGAGUUGGGGUUGGGGUUGGCGUAUCAUCCUCCAUGUCUUCGUUUCCAGCCCCUGCCAUGGCACAAAAAAUGAAAAUAAGGAAAAACAGUGUUGAUGGAAGACUACUUAAUAAUGUUUUCUAUAUAAUUCUUGUUUAGCUGUCUUGAGCAUAUUAAAUAACAAGGUUCGAUACUUACAAGAAUAUGCAUUGUAAUCUGCUCAACAAACCAACAAACAUCUCUAACAAUCAAUAUCUUCCAUCGAUUCUGUCAAAAUCAAACUCUUCCUACACUCAAAGCUCCAAAGUGAUGUGAUCCUUAUGCUAUUGAUCAUAGUUAUCAUCUCUAAAUAUCAGUCAAGUUACUAAAGAAAUUGCUUUAAAACAAAUUGAAACAGAUCGUCAUCAGAUAUGAAUUUGAUUAUAUAACAUGUCAAGCAUCAGAGUUGAAAAUGUUCUCUAUACAGAUUGAAAAAGCGUUGAUCGACUGAGGUCGAAUACAAAACCUGGACUCUUAUGAUAGCUAGAAAUAAAUUUAAAGGUCUUCCAUCACCACAUAUUUACCUCUAAAAAAAUAGCCUAAACAACUUUAGAGAGGGAGGGUAAAAAGCAAGGGAAACUAAAAAGCAAAAAUCUAUCAACUUGGCUUGCUACGGUUUCGGCUGCCAUGAAACGCAUCACAGAACUAUACUUGUUUUGCGACGAGUGUUAGGCGGGCUUGACCUUUUACAUGGUAAUGACCUUAGUCUCUUCUUCUUGUUCAAAGAGGAGCCUUCACUCUGAGAUCCCAAUAUAGCAGCAAUCAUUUUCGACCCUCUCGAACCUGGCAUGUUCUUCUUAACGUACCUCAUGGCUGCUUUUCUUUCAGAAUCUUCCACACCCUUAUUCAAUGGGCUUCCAGAUGUUGAGCACUUUUCUGUCUUCAGAUGAUCAACUGGGAUUCGGUAUUGUGGUUCUAAACAAAGUACAAAAAAUUCCAAAUAUUAAAUAUAGUCCAACCAGCCAAAUAUUAAACAGAAAACAUAUAGAGAUUAAAACAAGAUUUUACCUGGAGUACGGAAGACAUUAUCGGGGCUGGGAGAUCUCACUGGCGAUAGAGGAUGAAAACCAUCAAUACUUUCAUCUUCAUCAUUCAAACAGAGAUCCUUAGUUACAAUGGGAGAAGACUUCAUUGUUGCACUCUCAACUAUAUUCAAGUUAGCAGAAGUAGCAUUUUCCAAAUCACUGACACCAGUAUCUUGAUUCUCCAUUUCACAGGAAAACCGAGCAGGACUUGGUUGCAAAGUAUCCGCAGGUGCAUUUGCAGAUUCGUGAUUGACUUUAGACUCAGCAGCAAAUGAAGAGCAACCAGUACCGAUAUUUUGCAAAACCGACUUGGGAGAUGGAUUUGAGGAAUCUGAAUUCAAGCAAGGAUCCGAUCGUUGAAUUAAACUUGAGAACCAUGAAGUCCCCUUCCUCUUAUAUAACAAAAUGUAGGCCUCACGUGACAGCACAUACUCUUCAGUGACUGAAGUAACCUGAAUAACAUCAAAACCAGAAAGUUUUUUUGCUUCAGUAAAAGCUUACCGCACUUCACUAAAUCAAUGGAGAAUCAGCAGCUCCAUCAAUAGAAAAAGCACAUAACAGAAUUCCAGUUAAGUUAUAUCAGCACCCUCUUGAGGAUUAAUUAUCCUCAAGACCAAAACGAGUGCAACAACACAUCAGAUCAAUAUAGUAACUCAAAAAUAAGUAAUUGCUACUAUAAUUUCAGAAAUGGUGAUAUGAGAUACCAAAAGGUUCUACUGAUAUACAACCAAAAGCAAGGGGCCAAAUGCAGGGAAAGAAGAAAACGUGAAACAAAUUACAACUGGGAAGGAGAAUAUGAUCACUAAUUUAGUCGUCGCCAUAUAUCUAGCACGCUGCUAAAUCCCAGCAGUAAGUUGAAAAACUAAACAAAAUUGAAAAAUACUUCAUAAAUGUUAUACCAAUGAGUCGUCCAUUCUGUGCCAUGUAUCAGGAGAGGAACGAACAAAGCUGAAGUAGUGCCCAGAAGUAGAGGAAAACCCUGUGUGUUCCACAAUGGCAUACAAUUCAUAUUUGAGUUCCACCUGUUAUCGUCAAAGGGAAAAGAGAGAGAACCUCAGUAAUGAACCUAAACCAAUUGUAGGGCAAAGCCAAAAACAAAAAAUAUUACAGAGCUCAAAUAUUCUACAUUUUCAAGAUACUGAUGACAAUUCUUGUACAAACUUUACACCAUGAGGUAAGAAAAGUUAGAUAUUACCUCUGCAUCCUUGCCUCCCAGGGUGUACGGCUUCAAAUCUAACUCUAAUGGAAACUCCAAGUGCUUUUCGAUUUUCUCAACAAAAGAACUAUCAGCCUUGAAUCUCUUUAAGUGGAAUGUAGUAACCAAAGGGAUUUUUUCCAGCUUAAGCUGCUUCUCCACCCACACCUCCUCUUUGCAGUUUUCACACUUAAAUUUUGUUUCUGGAUCGCCAAUUCUCUCCACCUUGGUGAAAGAUUCCAGAGCACUGGAAAGGGAGUCCACAUUCUCAAUCUCCAAACUCAAGUCAACCAAAGGCUCAUGGGUUUCGGAACAAUGGCCACAAUUACAGCAGCAAAGCUGAAUAUGACACAAAUUGUAAAAAACAAGACACUGAAGCUCAAUACUUAAAAACAAAACAGUAAAGAUCAUUUUCUUACAUUGCUUAUGAGACGACCACCAAACACCUUAUUCACUAGAUCAUCAUCCUCUGAAGAAACUCGAUCCUUUCCUUCUGAAACCAUGCAUCUUUCAAGUUUAUCCAAGAAGCACUGCAUGAACUCAUGGGCAUCUUCCUGCUGGUAUCUCCAGAAAAAGGAUGAGAAGUCUAAUGCUAACUUAAGAAUAACAACAGUACAGCAAAGUUCUCAAAAGAUCAAAUAAUAAAACAAAGUACAAAAACAACUGCAACCUCCGUAACACGCAAGACCAUUUGUAUCCAAGUACCAUUAAAGAAAACCAACUAAAAGCAUGUUUGGAUUGACUUUCUAAGUGUUUAAAUAAAAGUAUAAAAUAAAUGUUUACAAUCACUUAGAAAGUCAGUCCAAACAAAACCUAACACACUGUGGUUAUCUUAAUCUCAGAUUUGCUCAGAUCGAGAUGCAGCUUCUUUGAAGCAAAUACAAAAUUCCUAACAAGUUAUCAUCACAUCAUACAAGGUACAAAAGGCACUAAUUAAAAGAAUUUUUAAGAAAAAAAAAUAUGGUGGAAAAUGAAAUAUAGAAAAGGAUACAGUUCAAGUUAUCAACAAGUUUCACUGGUGAGAUAAUCCCACCCAGAGAAGUUAAGGAGAGCUCGAUAUGAUCUCGAAUUGCACAAAAGACACAAAAACCUUCACCUGUGGAUGCAAAUUCGUAAUUCUUCAUCAACUACUGAGUCAUUAGAACCUAGAAACAGAGAGAACGUAUUGGUAGUGACAGUGAUCUUACUGUUACAAGGCAUAUCAUGAUUAGCAGAUCGAAGACCCUCCACAAAUGGAGCAGUAUGAGUGAGGCACUGCAAGAUUGCGUUAAUAAAACAAGUAUUCCCCAAAUUUGCAAGUCCCGCACCCUACGAAUUCAGAACAUAACCAAAACCAAACCCCAAAAAGAUAAAUAAAUGGAAAAUAAUAUAUCAAUUGCAACCAAGUAUAAAGAACUAAUUGAAAAUUAAGCUCACCGCAGAUAGAGAUUCGGUUUCUUGAGCAGACACGGAAUUUUCUGGGAAAGCUUCCUCUGAAGUAGACCACUCCAAAGACGAUCCCGGCAGAGGAGGCAAUGCGUCGAGUCCAUCAGAAUCAGACGAAUAAGUUGAGAAUGGCGAAGACCCAGUAGGGUUUAUCGAAGAAGAACCCCAAGACUGAUUAGCAGAGGCAUCCAUAGGCGAAAAAGAAAAAUUGCCGUUACGGCAAGAGGAAGAAUGAAGUAGAGAUUGUUGAGUUAGGGCAUCUUCGGUAGUAGUCGAGUGCCAAGACCCGGCUUCAAUUCCCAACGGAGGAACCAAAAAUGGAUCAAGUUCUUGAGAAUCAACCAAAUGGGUAGCCAUUAGAGAGAAUAAAACAAGAUAAUUAGAGUGAAAAGAAGAGAAAAACAGAGGUGGGUAUUGGAGAAGCAGAUAGAAAAGAAAGGGGGAAGAAGGUUUUUGGAUGAAAUUGAAGAGGGGGAAUUGGAAAAGAGAGAGGGAAAACGAAAAAGAAUCGGAAAAGGGUUUUAAUAUAUGGAUUUGAAAAGGGAGGGAAAACUCAAAAACUCCCAAAAAUUGGUCCUUUCCGCUUCAGAACAAAAAAGGGGAAAACGAAAAAAAAAUGAGAGGGAAAGAGAAGAAAGAGACGCGGAAGACGAUAAUGGUGACUGUUUCAUUUUCGUUUUUUAAUUCCUUUUUAAACACUUUCUUAAUUUCACUCCAAAACUCAUUCUAUUUAGGGUUUAAAUUCACUCACUCCCAACAGCUUUCGAUUUUUAUUUUUAUUUUAAAUAUUCAAAAUUAGGGUUUCUAUUUUACUUAUAUUUAUUACAUUUCAACUCAUAUAAUUCUAUUUUUUAAACUAAAUUAAUUUAAGCAUUGACUUAAAUUUAACUUCAAACGUUGCAGGCAUUAAAUUGAAAAAUGUGAUGAUUUAGUGGUUUAGUAGAAAAUUUUGUUGUUUCUCCUAACAUUUUGCCUAUAAUGAAGAAUCAAACCUCUAAUUUCAAGACUUGAUAUUAUUCAGACUUCAUGAAUCAACAAAUUAACUUUGUUUAAAACCAUUUUCUAAACUCCAUAGACUAAAUAAAUGUGUUUAUAUAAAAUUAACCAACCAUAGAAUGCAUAGGCUAAAUUCAAAAAUUCAAUGAAAAAGAAGUAACAUAAGAGAAUUAUGUAUUAGUUCUUUAAAUAUAGCACUCAAAUUAUUACUGAAACACAUACAAUAACCUCACAACUAUAACCAAAACUCAAUACAAAUUCAGGUCCUAAGCUCUUGUGAGAUAGGAAUGCCAAAUUUUGGUGGAGAAAAUACGGUAUGUAUUGUUUUGUUUGCUACAAAAAAAAAAAAAAAAAAGUAGAACUAAAGCACAUGUUCACUGCAGCAGCUAGAAAAACAAAAGAACCACCAGCGAAUGUUCAAGUCCUGUGUAAAAGGGUUGCUUUUUGAAAGAAUCUUUAUACUGAAAUUUCUUUACAUUCCUCAGUAAUAAAAUCCGCUGGUAAUAAAAAAAAACGUAUCGAGUUCGAGCCAAAUUCUACAAUGAAAAGGAACACUUGAAAAUAAUCAAAUGAUUCUGUCUUGAAGAUCUGUAAUUAAUGUAGAUGCCAAGGAGCUUAGCUUCUUCCCUGUUUCUCCUGCAAUGUUCUUGAGAGAAGAAAGAUCCUGCUGUGCCUGGACAAAAGUAAAUGAAUGUAUCACAUAUAUGUAAUACAAUGCUAAGGAAAUCAUGAACCCAAGCACAAUUGCACAGUUUAACAAGGAUUAGUAUAGAACCUGAAUAGAAAGCCGGUUAAUAAACUCAGUUGCAGUAAGAUCGGCAGAAGGAUUAUCUCGCUGGUUACCAAAUAGAUCGGCACUAGAGAUGGAAGCUGAGCCCUGCGAAUAGAAGGAUGGCAAGUAAGGGGAAUGAAAGCACUAUGAUUUAAUUUAAACAGUCAGACAUAUCAGCAAUAUAAAGAACGGUUUCCAUCCAAUCUGUGGAAAGUAUUAACUAAUAUAGCGCUUAUCAUUCAGUACCAAAAGUUGAAAAUGCAGUCCCAAAGCCUCAUCAUAAAAACAGAAACGGACCGAACACAGUGUUUUUCCCUUUUUUCUUUAAUACAUUUUAUGGUUUAUGGUUCUUUUUUGAUUGAGCUUUUACUUACCUUCAUCUAGAGAGGGUUUUUUCUCGUAACAUGUACCAAAUGUGUCCAAAACACAUACUUAACAUGUCAGGAAAUUAUAUAUAGCGUAAACUAUAAAUCCUUGAUAAGGAAAGAAUCAGAAUAUAGAACUUCCUUUUUUUAAAUGAAAACGACAACUUUCAUUGAGAAACAAUAAAAGAAUACAAGGGCACAAAAAAAACCAGGCCACAAAACCACCCCAUUAAAGAAAGAGGGACCAACUAAAUAAAAUGUUUGUCUAUAGAAUAUUUACAAAAGUUCUUCGAAACCGAAGCCCAAAGAAACACGUGAUAUCUAAUCAAAGACCAAAUCAGAAUAUAACACAUAAAAGAGUUCCUGCUCUAUCAUGAAGGAUUGAAUAGUCAAAUGGUAAGAGGUCUGUAUAAAUAGCAUAACUAGAAAAGUAUGGACAACAAUUUCCACUUAAUUAACGAUAAAGGCAAAGGUACAAACCGAGAAUUUUUGGAGGGAGGCCUGAGCAUCAGCAUCAGCUCUGUUCUGAUCACCAAAGUAUUGGGCUGAUGAUAUAGAUUUGGCAUUGGAAAAUUUCUUCCUUGCUUCGUCACUUUCUUCAAUCUAACAUCAAUCAUGUUGUUAGAACAGAGAUCAAAAGAGGUAGAGACAUUGAUAUGAUGGACCCAUGUGCGCAACCAGCAAAAAUACUCUUUAUGCUUGCCAUUACUUAAGAAAUAAGAUUUUUAUUUAUAGGAAUUUUGAUGGGUUCUUUUCAGAUAUGUGCAGGUUUGUGACCCUCGUGUAUACAAAAGAGAAUAAAAUGUAGAAAAUGAUAGAAAAAAUACAGAAACUACAAGUAGCACCAGAGUAGAACAUAGAAGAACACCAUCCACUGCUACGUAAAAUUGCAAAGGGAUGUUCACAAAAUUUAUUCAAAGCAAGAAACUUCCCCAGAAAACCCAUUUCUACAAUACUUGUUUAGAGUAAUUCAUUUUUUGAGUACCAAAAGUAUACUCAAUCAAGAACACUUCAUACUCAGACACCAAACCGCCCAAUUACAUUUAAAUAAACCAAAAGAUGCAAAAAGCUAUUUACUGAUGUAUAAAGACAUACCAAAUAAUUAUCUAAGACUAAGGAUAAUCAUCGUUAUGGAACAAUGGUCGGGUGACAAAUAUUAAUAUAAUUAGAUUAUUCUUAGGAGAUAUUAUUCUGGAGAUAUUAUUCUGGAGAUAUUAUUUGAUAUUAUUUCCUUAAGUGUAUUUCUCUAUGGUUAUAUAUAGGCUUGUAUCUCUAUUAAGUAAUGAAUGAAAUAUAGAUUAAUUCCAUAAAAUCAACAUGGUAUCAGAGCUCUAGGGUUUUCGCCUUAUUGAAUUCUAGCCUCCACAUCCCGUUUGAUCUCUGCCUCCGUUGAUCAUUCAUCAACGGAGGCAGAAUCAUCUCCCAUUAGCUGAAGCCGCCCCUUAGAUCUGCAAAUUUGCCGUUGUCGUUGCACCUUCCCUUUGUCACUCAUUGCUGUUCAAAUCUGCCACCAUCCAAACCCCAGAAACCCCAUUCGUUUUUCACUAGCGUCUGCGGCGGCCAUCUCCUUCAUAGUUCUUCGUCCGACCUCUUGUUUUUCCGUUAGCCAAGCAACCGAUUGAACCUCUGUCAGUUGAAGCCGAACGCCCAGCCGAAGAGUUUCAGUUUUUUCCGUCGUCCAAGAAGCUCCGCUCGCCGCUGCGUUUCGUUGCCGUUGCUCCAUCUCCUUACGCUGUCCCAACAAAACCAUGAAACCCCAUGAAACCCCAUGUCCUCAUAUCCUCACGUCUGCCUCCAAUCUGUUCCAGAUCUGUCUAAUUUCGUUCAGACCCAUCCUUCAUGUCUGCCUUCAAAGUUUAGAUCGAAGCCCAGAUCCAACGACGCCUCGUUUCUGUUUUUGUUCAGAUCCGCUAAGCCUCUCUGCUCCAUUCAGUUCAGCUCCCGUUCUGUUCUCCCCAGAUUUCCCGUUUAAUCUGAUUCUGACUUGCUCUAGUUUAGUUCGUUCUGUUCCACUUUGAUCCGACAAAACACUUCUGUCCAAUUCCGACCCUGUUUUCGUCCAGCUUUGAUUCUACUUUGCUUCAGUUUUGCUCUUUCAUUUUGCCCCCCGAAGUUCUUGUUUCGUUCUUCCUAGGUUCUGUUAUAGAUCUCUAUACGAGGAUCUAUGUUUCUAUCCCGGAAGUUUUUCGUGGGUUUGUUUUAACCUAGAAGUUCUUUGUCUGUUUGUUCUUCGGGUUUUUUAUUCUAUUCUAGAUAUAUUGUUUCUUUUCUUAGUUCUUAGCAAACUCAAGUUUGUGAUUUCAACCUUGAAUUUGAGGGAGGGUAUUAAUAUAAUUAGAUUAUUCUUAGGAGAUAUUAUUCUGGAGAUAUUAUUUGAUAUUAUUUCCUUAAGUGUAUUUCUCUAUGGUUAUAUAUAGGCUUGUAUCUCUAUUAAGUAAUGAAUGAAAUAUAGAUUAAUUCCAUAAAAUCAACGUUCGGGUGACAAAAGCAAUGAGCUUCGGAUUUACAGCCUACAUUAGACAAUUCCUCACAUUUCUUUUCAAGGCUGAUUCAGAGAAGCAUGCCAAAAUCAUUGAAAAAUCAGAAGUACAAUGUCUAACCUGCACUUUUGAGGAACUGGAACUGCCCUUCUUUGGAAAACCACCAUCCAUUCCAAAUUCAGCAAAGAAGCCCGAUGCCUUUGGGGGAGCUACAUGGCUAAGUACAUGAGAGCCACUAGAAUUCACAUCAGAUGAUUGGACAUUUUCUACAUAUUCAAAGCGAGAUGCAAAAGAUGAACCAGUUGCAGCAGUUUUGGGUGCUGUUGAAGAUGAAACUGGAACUGUAGGUUCUUCAGGUUUCUGAUCAUAUAGAUUUUCACUUGGCUGCAUGGAGUAAUGCAAAUUAUAAAGUCAUGGAAAAUGUAUUUCAAAAUCUAUAUUUAAUUGAGGUCAAGAGAAAUUUCGAACACUAAUACAUGAGCAAUAUAAGGCCACUUCACAUUGGUAGAAUGCAUUAUUAUUAUUACCUUUGUAGUAAGCUUUCGAGCACCAAGUCCCCCAGUCUUCCCUGGUUUCUUCCCACCAAUGGGCUUCUUAACAGUACUUGAGAAUACCGUCUGAGAAGCUUUUGGUGAAGCAGAAAUUUCUGGAGCCUCUUGCUUUCCUGAGACAUGGUCCUUUGCAGUUUCAUUAGUUUUGAUAUCAGGAGGUCCAUUUGUUACUAGGUCUGACUGAGAAGUAACUGGGGAAGAUGGCAAUGCCGGCUCUUCUGCCAUACUUUUAGCAACUUCUUUCGAAAGUAAUUGCCUAUACAACUCAGCAGCUCUAGAUGUAUAUUUGGCCUCAAUUUUGCCUCCAUCCGUCCAUCCAUGCUGCUUAAAGAAAACCUGUGCUCGGUUAUUCCCUCCAAAGCUCAUUGUUUUAAGCUGCUCCACACUCCAAGAAUCUAAAUUUGUGGACCUACGUAAAUUGAAAAAACAUAAGAACAUUCAAUACUAACCAUCAUAAGGGGAAUUGUACCUUAAGAGACUUCUCAAAAUAAUUACAGGUCAUAACCUUUGAUCGAUUUGAAAUUCUAACUAGCAUGUUAAGCAAACCAACAGGACAAGCAAAGAAAUAAGAGAUAAAGUGCCCUGAGAAUUUUCCAGAAGGCAACUAACAGUUAGGUACAUAUAUGUAGUCCUUUCUCUAAGGCCACAGAUUUUACCUCAUUGGUGAGUAUAGAAGUAAAAAAUGUCAUUUAAUAAUUUACACCAAGAUUACUUUAAAUGCCCAAAAAAGAAUGCUUUGAUUCCCUCCGUUCAUGCAAUGAUGUAACUAGUCUUUUCAAAUUCCACUUGAGUACAACUACUUCUCACUGAUAUUUGCUUCAUUUAAUUUAAUCAUAAACUAUUCACUAUAGUUCUAGAAAACAUUGAACCUUUACUUUACUAUAAAAGAAAAAACCUUUUAUUAGAACCCUUUGGGUAAAACUUUCACUGUUUUUUUUAUUUUAAUGGAAAUAACUAGAUCUACAGAAACAUCACGUUAUACAUAAGGCAGAAGGACAGAGGAUCAUUCACAGCCUCAGGUUGGGGAGAGCACAAGAUACUUAUCCAAAGUCUCUAUCUUUCAUUAAGAAAAGAAAAGAAAAGAAGAAAAAGAAAUUGUAUACUGCAUAACUUUCCUGUAUAGAUAAAUAAUCAGUGCAGUGCAAGCCAAACCUCGUUCUCAUACAUACAGAUAUGUGUGCAUGUACACUAUCACAAUGACUAACAGAUCUAAAAAUGUAGUUCUUUGUGAUAUUUUAUAAUUACACUUUUUUAAUCUUCUCGACUAAGAUUGUAAAGACGACACACCAGACUUCCAUUCUUCUGACUGAAAAGAAACUACUAAAAGCUCAAGUGCAUGGUAAAAAUUGGUUAUUAACAUCAAUAACCUUUUGAUAAUGAUUCGAACUUACCUUUCUAUUUAUGAAAACUAUGUUUUCUUCCUCACAAUUUAUUUACAAUGGUUUCCGCUCUUAUAAGAAACAUUUGAGUUCUUAGUUUAAGUUCCAAAAAAGUGUUAUUGCACAAUAAAGCGCAUUAGUCUUCUGAAGCUUAAGCGCAAGGCGCAUUGUGAGACGCACUAUAUAUAAAAGUACUAUAUUAAGAAAAAGAAGCAUGGUUGAAGUGAAAAUAUGUAAAAACAGACGUUUAAACACAAGAAAAUUUUCAUUUGUGCUUAGUAAAUUUGAUUUUUUUAGUUAAUAAAGGAAAAACACUAAUUAUUUAUAUUUAAAAUAAAAACCCAUGGCACAGGCCUUUGAGCUUCAGGCGUGCCUUAAUUUGUGAGCCUCUCCUUUUCAAGACGAAGCACAAGGCCUGCACUUUCAGCCUAGGCGCACACCCAGGAGGAUUUUUUAAAACACUAGUUCCAAAAAUAAAAACUAUUACCAAAAAGAAAAAUCUACAUUUUUAAGUUUUGAAAACUUGGCUUAGAUUUUAAAGAAAAAAAAAAUGAUGGAAGUAGAUAGCAAAAGAAAGAAACUCCAUAACUGGAAGUAGUAUUUGUAAGCUUAAUUUUCAAAACUCAAAAAAACAAAAACCCGUCAUUAAACAAGGUCUACACUACUAUUGUAUUUACAAAUGCACGUUUACUUGAUUUUCAAAUAAUUUACAUCACUUUUCAUGAGUCUAGUUUGAGGAUUCUAGAAAAUAAUCUAUAAGCAUCUACAAACUACGACCCAGACAUACUGAGAUACAAGGUUAAAAGAAUUUACAUGAACCCAUCAAACAUAAGUGCAUGUUAGAGCGCAAAACAUGGCUAACAAGUAGGAGGACGGGGUUUAACAUAAAUAACUAAACAUAUAGAAGAGGCGUGAGAAUAAGACACUAUCAACACAAUGCACUUCCAAAAACUACACAUACCCAAUCAGGAAAAGAAACAUAUAAGAAAGAACUCAAUGAAGGUCAAAUUAGAGCCACAAAUCAAAACCAGCAGGCAUCAAAAUCAAAAACCCAAAUAGAAAAAUCACCUGACAAAGCUAACAUGGACACCAAGGCUGCGAUGCACAGCAGAACAAUCAAUACAGAGGAAGAUCCCAUAUGUAACAGAAGCCCAAGUCGGAUUCUUGGCAUUGCAAUCAAAGCACAUCUGAAAAAAAAAACAAAAACAACAAUAAUAACCACAACCAACGAAGUGGGUCUGUUCCAUUUCAACAGGGGAUUGAAGAUCUCGACAUGAAACACACAGAUCGGAAAGAGGAAACACAAUAUCAAGAUGAAAUUGAAUGGAAUUCGAAUAAUACCUUGUUAUCGGACUUGGCUUUGAGUUUUCUAAAGACGAGGUUCUUGUCGGAAAAGCUGUCGAACGCCAUUGGAAAGGGAAACGAAGAGAAAAAUCCCCAAGGGGGUGUGCUUGAACGAACACCACCUUUGGGAAAUUGAAGACGAAGAUCGGUCAAGAAGAAGAAGAUCGGACUGAAACUCCAGAAAUCGCUUCCUUUGGUUUUUUAAUUCGAAAGAAAAUUCUUAACCGAAUUGACCAAAACAACCUUCUAUGUUUCUUCAAAGAACUGCCAGGAUGAGUCCAAGCUUUGAGCACUACAUAAGGGUACUUUCGUCAUUUUGAAGAAUCGAUUUUUAAAAAAAAUUAGGUCACAUUGUUCAAAAUAUCUCUCCAUCAAUGGUUACAACUUCUUUGCUUCUACUCCAUCUUUAAAAGUUAAUUUGAAUAUACUUUGAAUACUAUAAAAGGGUUUCUUACCUUUUCUUUUUUCCUUUUAACUUUUUCUUUUCAUGAAUUUGCUUUAAUGAGAUUAACGAUGUUUGAGUAUAUAGUUAGAUUGAUAGUUAUAUAUAUCGAUACUGCAUAGAGUUUUAAGACUCGUUCUAUUCCUUUUACUAAUCAACUUCAAUUUAGUGAAACUAUAAUCGAGAACACGUUCAACUUUUAUUUUACUUCUUAUAUUAACUCCAAUAUUAUAUUUUUAACCUAGAUCAUAAUCGUUAUGCCAACUGGUGAGACAAACUAGAUGUUCCUCAUACCAAAUCACAGUGGAUGACACUCUCAAUGUCAACUCAACUUUUAAAGUCACAACGAUAUUAGUAAUCACGGUACUAAUUUUGUGGAACCUCAAAUAUCAUUAACGAGUUGACAAUAAGCUAGUAUUGGAUAGUUGAAGUGGUCAAUACGUACGUUGAUACCUAGAUUGUUAUAAAAUCAAAGCAACUCGUUUAAACAUAAAAUGAGAAGUGCCACACGUACUUAUUAAUACUUGGCAUGAAAAUUGCUUGAGAAUUAGAGUUGUUUAGGCAAGCACUACCAUAUGUGCAAUUUAUUUUGCAUGAAAGCAUUAAGUAGUUAUUCUCUUAUCUUUUCGCAAAAUAUCAUUCAACAUUUACUUGAAAUUUGUUAAACUUGACAGUCUCGUAUUAAUGUUAUUCGUGAACUAAGACCAAGAAGAUUAAUUAGACACGAUAAGCUAGCUAAGACAGAGUUUAUGAAGUACAUUAUUCAUUUGUUUAUGUUAGAAAAUAUCUUAGGGUUGUAUUAAUUGCACUUAAACUUCAAUUAUGAUCAAUCUUGCUUUAAACUACAGUGUCAUUCAAUUUGAAGUAAAACUACAUCAAAUGAACUUAAGUAGCAAUAAAUGAACUUAACUAUACAUCUUGAGUUUUACUUGGUAUGGAGUGAUACGAGAAUUGAGUAUGAACACAGUUUUUUGUUACUUUUGACAUUGAUCUUCAAGGUAAAUUAAUUUCUAUAUUCUUUCUUCUAGUGUAAUCGUUUUUAUUUCCAGAUUUACCAUAUGCAAUUUAGAAGUUUACAUAUCUUCAAAGGCGUGUUUUCCCCAAUGACUAAGAAGUAUGAGUUGGAAAAAGACGAGUGUCGUUAAGUUCACUCUUCUACUAGCCCAAUGUAUGUUUAAAUUUAUUGGAGGCUCUAUUACUAAACAACUCCUCGUACUAAUUAAUUUCAUUACUUAUCUCAAAUGUAUCUUAAAAGUUAUUGAAUCAAAUUACCUAAAGUUUUCUUAUCAGCCUCUUUUUUCAUUUAAAGAGUGUUUGGUCCACCAACUUUAUAAAUUGAUAUUAAAAUAACUCAACUUCACCAGAAAGUAAAGUUCAUUUCACUCGAAUCCAUAUUGUUUUAAUCAAUGUCAUGGAUCGAAUUUGAAUAUUUUAAAAAACAAAAAUGAAACAAAAAGAAUGUGUUAUUUAAAGCAUAAAUUAAUGGAACUAUAUUUAUAGUAUAAUUUUGGAAUAUGUUUAAUAUUUCUUAAUAAUAUAAUUUUUUUUGUUUUGCUAUUGUUAGGAAGGAAAAUGGUAUCUAUUCUUUUAAAAAAAAAUUAUUCUAUUUUUCAUGAAAUAUUUACUCUUUCAUACAAAAAAAAAUCAAAUAUAAAUAGUUUGAAAAUUGUUCUAUUUUUUAAAAAACGUCUUUAAAUUUCAGUCCUUUUCUCACAAUUUUUAUUAUGAAAGGAUUUUAUACAAAACUUCCUAUAUAAUUGGCAAUAUAAUUCAAAUCUUUAUAAAAAUAAUUAAAAAGAAAGAAAGAAAAAAAAACUCUCUCCCCAAUUGGGCUCGGGCCUUUUUUGCUUGGAUGCUCUUGGGCUUAUGAAUCAAUGUGGGCAUCAUCAUCAUAUUGGCCUUUGACAAGGUUGAUUUUCCACAAAUAUCAACUACUUAAUCAAAUGAAGCAAUCUAUAUGGUAUAUGCUAUAAAGUAUUAAAAUGGAGAAUAAGCCAUAUUUUCUAUUUUUCCUUUUACCUUUACAAUUUUGUACAACGGUAGUAAAUUUUUCACUUGGGUUAAUUAGUCGAAUUUUCGUGACUUGGGUCGAGUAUGUGUUGGAGAGAAGAUGAUAUAUUUUGAUUAUAUUUUUUUAGAAUAAUUUUUAUUUAGAUUUUAUUCUUGGUAGAAAGGGGAAGAAUGAUAAAUAUGGAUAGCAUUUUGAAGUAUUCCUAGGACAUUACGAUAAUAAUUUAUUCCUUAGUUUUUUCUAUAAAGAGGGUUAUAAGGGGGAUAAUUUUUAUAUACAUAUUUUAUCCUUUUAUUGUUAGUAAAUUCUCACGCCACACUUUAUUGACUGAGUUAGCCUACCCCUUUUUAAGUGUACCUGUCUAUUCCGAACAAAAAUAUCAUUUAUUAAAAUGUAAUAUUGUAUUAAACUUUUUCAUACAUUUUAUGGAGAUUAAAACAACUCCAAACCUUUUACAUUCAACUUUUUUAUUUUCACCUAAAGUCUUCAAAAAAAAAAAAAGAAACUAGUACUCUAGAAUAUAAGAUAAUUUGAACUCUAUACUCAUAGUUAUUUCCUAUAAAUAAGGUGAAAAAAAUACGUUAAUACUAAUUUUGAAUUGUAUCAAAUACAACCAAAAACGAAUGUGAAAGUACAUCCACAAUAUGAUAAUAAUAUCAAAGUGGACAUAUAUACUUCAACGAAAAUACAAAUACACAAUCGAGAAAUAAGUGAUUCAAAUUCUUUUAUACAUUACUGUAGAAAAACAAAGAUUGUCGUGUUCGUUGGCCGGUGACAAAAAUGAAAACAAAAACCAUAGUGAAAGUACUUAAAGGUCUCGUGAGAUAAAGGUCGAGGGUAAAAUGGACGGCUCCCAAUUGAGAUAACAUGAGGAAGUAGACACCCAAAGACAGCCCUCCACGUGGACUAACUGUUGCAUUGGUGGCCGAUGAUGUGGACUGUACGGUAUGUGUGACGUGGACAAGUGAAAUUCGGUCCCACCCCUCCACUACCCCUUUUUUAAUUCACACGUUUUUCUUUCCCUCUAUUUCUCCCCUCUGGGACCCACUUUUAUUUAUAUAUUUAUAUAAUUAAAAGUUAUUCUAAAAAAAACAAAAUUUAUUAAAACGUUGAUUUUUUUAGGAAGAGUAAAUAUUUUUAUCAAAUUCUUUAUAGUCUCCUUAAAAUUUUUGCUAUAUUUUGUAAUUUUAAAAUUAAUUUAUAAAAUAAUAAAAUUCAUCAAACUCUUUUAUCUUAUUUAAAAAUUUUAUUUAUUUUAUAAAUAGUUUUAAUUUCUUUUAAUUAUUUGUAAUAAUUUUCCUUUAUUUUAUUCUCACCUUUUAUUUUUUAUAAUUCAAUAGAAUGGAUAAGCUUGGUUGAACAUUACACGUAAAGUUAGCAUAAUCUACGGAUUUAUUUACCUUUUUUAAAAGAAAAUAAAUAUCAUUCAAAUGUCAAUACAUAUAAUUGAACAAAAGAUCGAUCAGCUGAUUUUAGAUUUUUUCAUGUUGUUGAGCUACAAAAUUUCAUGAAACAAUCAAUUUAUUUUAUUAUGUUUAUUAACUACUAAUUUAUGUUUUGUUUAUAUAUGUUUUUUAUAUCCACUUUUUGCCAUUGUUAUUCUUAAGAUCUAUAUAAAGUUUGAUAACAUGAAAGAAAAAUGCAUUUUGAUUUUUUAGAAAUAUAAAUAUUAUUGAUCAAAAGUGAAAACCUUGAUUUAAGUGUUAAGAAGGGGAUUUUUUUCAAAAUUGACGGUAAUUACGAGUUAAUUUUCAAUUCACUUAUAAAAAGAUUUCAUAAUUGUCACAUCCCUAAAAGUUAGUCUAAAAGGCUAUGAAACUUGAAGACUCGAUUGAGAGAUAGGGAUUAAAUAAAAUUGUAUGUUGACUACCGACCAUAAAUCUUGAGGAUAAUUGUGCAAAGGGGAAUGUAUUAUCUCUUUAUAUCAUUUUGUAUAGAUGAUCUAAGUUGAAUUUUGACGUAGGGUUUAUGUCAGAGUGCAUAUUUUACCUUCUUAAACAAUCACAUUAAACUUUUUGAAAGUUAAUUACGUUUUAGGUUACACAUGGUGAUGUUAACGACUCAAAAUGAUCAAUAUAAUUAAUAUAAAAAUAGAUUUUUUUUUUUUUUUUUGGUUAUGCAUAGAAAUGAAAAUAUACAUUUAGAAAUUUACUUGAGAAAACUAAAAAAACAAUUGCGAGAGAAAGAAAAAGUAGAGUUGAAGCGUUUAAUUUUCUAAAAUCAAAAUGUUAUCAAACAUGGGUUCAAUAUUUUCAAAUUGCAAAUAUAAUCCUAGUCAUUCAAAUAAUUUCAAAGGUUAAGGUUUAGAAUAUAUUUUCUAAAAACAAAAUGAUUAUUAAAUGUGACCUAAAAAACAUAAUGAUUAUAAAACACAAUCGAGACUUUGAGAGUUCAAUUGAGGGACGGUGGGUUAAUCAUGAGAGGGGAAGGAUUAGGUCAUACUCUCAUUUCGUUUUAGGUCACGACAUGUCAGAAUAGUACUAUUGAAUAUUGGUUCGCAACAAAGACUUUUGGAUCGUGAAAAUAUAUUCCACCAUUGGUUAAAUUUUAUUUGUUGAUUAAAACAAAAUAAGAAAUUUUAGGGAGAAAAAUGUGAUUCAUGCAAAUCUAAAAUCUGACCUAAUUUUUAUUCUUUUCUUCAUUCAUUUCUUGACAUUAUGAGAAAAACCUACCAAAACAAAAAAGAAAAUGUUUGUUGAUUUUCCCCCUUAUUUUAGACUACAUUUUGUGAAAUAAAAAUAUUCAAUUUUUUUUUUUCUUUUUAACAAUUAGUUGCCAAUAAUUCAAAUCACAUUUUCCACUUCCAAUGUUGUACAUAUUUUCCCCCUAAUUUCUACACCCAUAACUUUAUUGUAAGGAAAAGUACUUUUGACUAUAUAUUUAUUUAAAUGUAUAGCAAAAUGGUUGGAUGAUUUGAAUGUGUGCUUUUGAUACAAUUAAUAAGAAACACAAUCACAAAUUAACUUUAUCUAUUUUUACUUAAUUAAUUUCCUUUCUAAGUUUUUAAUUUCCUUUUUAAGUUUUUUAAAAGUUUAAAAUAUAAUUUAUUAAAGAACAAGUUUGGAGGGAGUUAAGUUUAAAGAUCAAAGUCUAAUAUAUAUUCGUAAUAGAAAAUCAAAAAGUUUAAAGACUUAUUAGACACAAAAAUGAUCAAAGGUCACAGAACGACAACUAUUCGACAGUUUUUAAAGUUCACAUAGAUAUUAAACAUUAUCGACUUGUCGACAUCUCGAUUCUUUAUUCCAAAUAUCGUAAAAAAGAAGAUAUUAAACAUUACCGACUUGUCGACAUCUCGAUUCUUUAUUCCAAAUAUCGUAAAAAAGAAAAUUACGAGAGAAAAAGUGGAUAGAAGAGUACUUACAACCACAAUUUUAUUAUUAUUUAGAAGCAUUUAUGUUUGAAUGAGUGGGGGCAGAGUCAAAUUUUGUAAUCAAUUGGUUCACACUUUUGAGUAUUGAAUAUGUAAAAAAAAUGAGAAAAAAAUAAACAAAUAAUCUACUCUACUUUUUAGCUACCGACAUUUCAAUUAAAAUUAUUUAUGCCACUAUUUUUUUAGCAUAUGAUCAUGCUUUAUUAUAUACAUCAAAAUUAAUUCUUUAAUUUUAGUAUAUAUAUAUACACAUCAAAUAAAUACACCAUAAUUAUUAUUAUUAUUGAUAUGUAUUAUUGACUAUGUUUAACUAUUUCAAACUUUGAUUUAAAUUCAAUGUACAAUUGAAUAAUAAUAUAUACAAUGAAUGCUUAAUUUUCCUUUUUUUUUUUAAUAAUAUAUCUUCAAACAAAUAAAAUUAAUUUCAAUCAAAAUUGAUAUUAAGUUUAAUAACGUUAUGUCACAACAUUACAUGUGAAUAAGUAAAUCAUACAGAUAUAUCUACAUCAUUAUAACAUCUUCCAACCCAAUGUAGCAUAAUAUAAAAUUUAAUAAAUGAUUAAGCUCAAAGUAUUUAAACAAUUUAUAAUAGAUUUUCAAAAAAUUUAUUUCGUAUAAAUAGAUUAUAGAUUUUAGAAAUGUUUAAUAAAUAUUUUAGAUUUCUAUUUAUGAUUAAUAACUUAUAAUGUAUUUUUAUUAUUUUUAAAAUUGGUGAUCUAACUGAUACAAACAAUGAAUUAAAUAUUUUUCUAAAAUAUAUUUGUAGAUACAGUAAGGAAAUUUACUAAUGUUGAUAUCAUUAAAACUAUUUUUUAAUAUUACAAUUAUAGAGGUGAGGAAUUAGAUAAACUAUAUAUGAAAUAAUGAUCAGUGACGAUAUAUACAUUAAGAUUUUGGCCAUUAAAGUAAUUUCUAGAAGUGUUUGAUAGAAUUUUUCAACUUUUGUGUAUAGUAUAUAUUUUCUAAAACUUUUCCAACAUGAAAUUCUUUGUUCUUUUUAACCCAUAUAUAGAGAAUUUAGCUUUUGAGUGAUUUGACUUGAUGUGUGUAUAGUAGCUACGACUAAAACAUUAUCUCUAAAUUUAUUUCUUCAUCUUUUAUAGUUUACACUUUGUACGUGUCAUGUGCAACUUCCAUUGUUACCACUUAUAUUCAACAUAUUGUAAUAAUUAUUAUUAUUUUUCAUUUGUAUGGCUUUGUAGCAAACAUAAAAACUAUAAGUUAAAAUGAGAGAAAUAACUUAAGAUACUUAUAACUAAUCUAUUGGAAUUCAAAUACACAUUAAAGUUUUAUUUCAAAACAAGGAAGUGAACAUAAUUUUUCAAUUUCUAGUAGUAUCUUCCAUUCAAUUUUUUGAAAAUAAUUAUAUGACAUAUAAAAUAAUUAAAAGAAAACAGUUUUAUACCUAACAUGAUUUUUAAAAACGAGAAUAGUUAGGAAUAACAUAAAGAAAAUAAAAAUCUUUUACAAAGAUGAAUUUUACUAUAUAUUUUAAAAUAAUUUAAAUAAUUUGAAAUAAUUAUUGUAAUUUAAAAUAAAAUAUAAUUAUUUAAAAUAAAAGCAUAAAUUUAUUUUUUAAAAACACCAAUAAACAAUCAAAAAAGGUAGAUAGAGAAAUAUAGAAAUCUCCAAAACAUUUGAAAAAAUUGGUGAUUUAAAAAAAAAGUAAUAUUCUAAAAAAGAAAAAACAAAUAUCAAAUAGUCUAAACUCACGAACAUCACUUCUUAAAAAAAACAAAAAAAAAAAAAAAAAAGGAAAAGAGGAAAAGAGGAAAAGAAAAGAAAUAGUAAAAUUGAAAAAUAGAAAAUGGAAUUGAAUGGCGUUGGUUAUUUUCACGUGGGAAAAUGGAAAAUACGCAUGAUGCGACAUAAAGCUAAAACCCAAAAUAUAUUAAAAAGAAAUAAAAACUAAUAAUACAAAAUAUAAUUCUUUUCUAUAAGAAAAAAAUAAACAAAAACAAAACGUCGUUCUCAUGCCACGUUUCCUCAAAAAAACGUGCUCAAUAUAGCUUUAAAUAAUUAACCCCUAAACAAAUUUAAUUAAAGAAAACUAAUCUCCAAAUCUCAGCCAUUGCUUCCUCCAUCUAACCCUCUGACCCCACUCUACCUCUUAAAUCCAACGCUUACCCUUCACCUCCUCCACACACCAAACUUAGAUUUUUUUCUUCUUUUUUUUUUAAAUUUUGUAGAAGCCGUGUGGUUAUUAUUUAUUUUUAUAAAAAUGAAAAAUAUGAAGAUAACGAGGAAAUGGGGUCCACGUGGAAGACGAUUUUUUGGACGCCGAGUUUUUGGAUUUGGUCUUCCUUCGCAUCUCCUUCCUCGAACCUCUCUUCACUCGAUAUUAUUCACUUCGCUUCAACCGUCCUCUUACGUGGAUUUAUCCCCCUUUUUUUUACUUUUACUAUUUUUUUCUCUACAACUUCGAGUUUUAAUAAUUAAAACUUUGAAAUUUGGUAGGCAGUAAUUUUCGAUGUUACUUCCAAAGUUAAAAACUAAUUCCCUCCGUAAGUAUUUCUUUAUUAUAAAUUAAUACAUUUUAAUUAUAUUAACUAAGUUUGGCUUAUUACCUUUCUUAUUCUCUUAUUCUCGUACCUACAUAAUUCAUUUUUAAUAUACUAUAAAAGAAAUUUAGGUCAAUGAUAAAAAAUAACAAAUUUAACAAAAUAUUUACAUCAAAAUUUCCAGUUUCUUUCCAUAAUACUUUAUAAAUUUAUAAAUUUUAUCAGUGAUAUCAUGAAUAGAAUUCAAAAUUCUGCCAUAUGCUAUAAAUAUUUUAAUUUAUUUUGCUAUUUUUAAAAAUAUCUAUAUUUUUAUGAUUUGAAUUCAAAUUUUAUUUUAAUUAUUUAAUAAAAGUUCAGAGUUUUCUUUAAUAAAAAGUUAAAUCAAUUAAAAUAAAAAAUGAAAUGUUUUCAAAUAUAUAAAAAUUGAAACUAUUUAGCAAAAUCUAUUAAAUUCUUUUUGCAAAAUGUUGGUUUUUUUUUUAAAAAAAUAAUUUCCAUUUUUUUUUCUAUCUAUCGGUAAGAAUUAUCGAUUAAAGUAUAAAAUCUUAUUUUAAUAAUAGAAAAAUUAAAGGAUAGUUUAUUAUUGUUUUUUUUUUCUUUUUUGAAUAAGUGAGACUAUUACUUUAUUUUGAGUAAAGUGGGAAAAUAAAUAUUUGAGCAGAAAAUUUGGUAACUUUCAAAAAAGCAUUUGUCCCCUUUUCUCUUUCUCAUAUUUUGGUGAUAUUUUGUUGUUUCUCUCUCUCUCUCUCACUCAUUCCUUAAUUAUUUUAUUGCAUAUUUUCAACGUAUUUUUAUAAAAUUGUAAUUUGAUGAUUUGAUUUUUUAAAUGAAAAAAAAAUUGUGCAAUUUUAAGAAUUGAUAUAGUUUAGAUUAAAGCAGUAAUGAAAAAAAGAUACUGAGAUGAAAACUCAAAUAAACCUGUUUGGUAUCAAUAAAGGUUGAGAUUGAGCUAGGAAUAUGACAUGCAUACAACCCACUUGCUUGAGGGGAGACAAAACUUUGGACCAAAUGUUCAAAUAUGACCUAAUUAAUUUGUACCUUGGUCGAGUCAUAGCCACCUUUAAUUAACUAAGACAUGUUAAACGCAUAGGAUAAUCCAUUAAGAAUGAGAAUAAACCUAAUCCGACUCUUUGAAGGCUUUAAUUAGUUACAAAUUCAAAGUGUGCCGUGAAGUUUAAAUCAUUUUUUUUUUGUACCUGCUUUGUUUCUUUCUUUUCUAUUUUUACAACAUCUGCUUUGGCUGCUUUAACAUUAACAAUAUACAAUAUACAAUUUUGUAUAAAAAAUUCCUACAGCGUUAUUAUUAUUUUUCUUAAAAUAAAUAUCAUUAUUGUAAAUUUUUAAAUUUGAGGCGUCAUAAAGUUAGUUUAUAUGUGAGAGGUAUCUUGUUGAAUUUUUUAAGUUUUUAAAAUUUUUUAUUCAAUAAAGUUCUAAAAUUUGCUCUAUUUUUUUUCUGUUUGGCAUCCAACUGUAGACAUACUUUUUCAAAAUUUUAACACUCGGUUUGGUAUUUGAAUUUAAUUAAAUAAAGCUAUACUCAACAAAAAAAUAUAUUGUUUUUUAAAGUAGUUAAUUAAGUUGGUUAAUACCAUAAAGUAAGCACAAAGCAAUAUGUGACAAAUAAGUGAUAAAUAAGUAAUUUGUCUUACGGGUAUUUGUGACAAAUAAGUUUAUAAGGAUAACUCAACCAUCUUAGACAACCUAUCAACAUCAACUUGCCUAAGGUGAAUGUUAAUAUUGAUUGUUAGGGGUGAGUGUCACUUGCCAUUGAAGUUGAUUAUCAAAGGUGAUUUUCAUUGCAGUUUAUCAUAUAAGCAGUAGUUGGAGUCUGAAAUUGAAGGUGGUUAUCGAAGUUGAUAAUCAAAAAGUGAUUUUCUCAAAGUUUGUAGUCAUAGCUUGGAAUUCAUCGUGUAAACGUGGUCAUCAAAGUUGGCUUUUUUUGGAGUUUCCUAUUGGAGAUAGUUACCAUAGCCCAAAAUUAGUUGUUGGAGGUGGUCACAUAAAGGUAUCUAGUCGUUAGGUCAGUUUGUCAUCGAAGGUGGUUGCCAGACCUUGAAAUCGAUCAUCAAAGUUGGUUAUCUGAGUGUGGUAAUGGUAAUUGAUCGUUGAAUCUAUUAGAAAAACUGGAGAGAGCUUCAUCAACCUAUAAAGUUAGUGGACCAAAGAGAACUCAAACUCAACUUAUAUUUUGAUGUGUUAACUCCCCUAAAAUAAAACAAACGAAACAAAAAAAAAAAAUCAUAAAGACAAAAAUGAAAAAAUGGAGUACCAUCAUUGUACUAAAAAAAUAUAUUUUAACAAAAGAAAAAAUCAAUGACUACAAAUAAAUUUUAAAACACUAGAUUUAAAAAAAAAAAUCAAAGAACAAAAAUAGAAGAUAUUUAUAUAUAUAUAUAUUUAAAAAAGAAAAUUAAUAGAUAUUAUAAUGAGGCUUAGUAUUUUCAAAAUCCUGUUUUAGGGCAAAAAAAAGAGGGGAAAAAUAAAACAACUUCCGUCUUUGAUUCACAAACAAGAGACGUGUCAUGUUCUCAUUAGCUAAAACCGGAAAAAAAGCGAUGAGUAAAAAAGUCAUAAAAACGGUUAACCCUCAACGCCUCUCAAGGGUUCUUCACGUGCCAGUCACGUGGAAGGAAGGGAAGCGAACCGGGUCUAAGAAAACCGCACUAUCUGGGGUAAGUACUAUUAGUAUAAUUGUACUAUAAGCGCGGAGUUGAGAAAGACGCCGGCUUUUUGAACGAUUUAAUCGGCGAUCUAAAGAAGAAGCCUCUUGGUUCCUUCUUCUCCUCUUCGCUUCUCUGUUAAAUGUUCAUCACAAAUAAAUCCCAUACCAAUCGCCCGACAUUUCUCUCACUCCACAAUCGGAGACCAAAGAUUAUUCCUUUUUUCCCAUUUCUAUUUCUUCCAAUCUCAAUCGCAUGACGGAUUAUCGUUUGUCGACGAUGAAUCUCUGGACUGACGAGAACGCGUCGGUUAUGGACGCUUUCAUGAAUUCCGAUCUGUCUUCCUACUGGGCUCCGUCAGCCGCCUCCUCUCACUCUCUUCACCACCCACCGCCACCUCAGUCCUCCGCCUCCACAUCCACUCCCCCGCCGGACGCACCUAAGUCCCUCCCCGUUUUCAAUCAGGAGACUCUGCAGCAGCGGCUCCAGGCGCUGAUCGACGGUGCUAGGGAGAGUUGGACUUAUGCGAUUUUCUGGCAGUCGUCUUAUGAUUAUUCUGGUGGGUCUGUUUUGGGGUGGGGUGAUGGGUAUUACAAAGGAGAGGAAGAUAAAGGAAAGGGAAAAGCGAAAAUGGUGUCGUCAGCGGCGGAGCAGGCUCACCGGAAGAAGGUUUUACGGGAGCUUAACUCUUUGAUUUCUGGCUCUGCCGCCGGACCUGACGAUGCGGUGGAUGAGGAGGUUACGGAUACGGAGUGGUUCUUUUUGGUUUCGAUGACUCAGUCGUUUGUUAAUGGUGUUGGGUUACCGAGUCAAGCGUUUUACCACUCGACGCCGAUUUGGGUCUCUGGUGCCGAUCGGCUGUCGGCGUCUGCCUGUGAACGAGCUAGACAGGGGAGGGUUUUUGGGUUACAGACGAUGGUCUGUAUUCCAUCGCCUAACGGUGUUGUGGAAAUGGGUUCGACGGAAUUGAUUCAUCGAACGUCGGAUUUGAUGAAUAAGGUCAAGAUUCUGUUCAAUUUCAACAAUCUCGAAACGAGUUCUUGGAUUUCGGGAACUACCGCCGCCGCAUCCGCUGCCGACGAAGGGGAAAACGACCCGUCGUCGAUGUGGAUCAGUGAGCCAUCGAGUACAAUCGAGAUGAAGGAUUCAAUCACCACCACUGUUCCUUCCAGCAACGUUCCGGCAAAGCCAAUCCGUUCGGAAAAUCCCAGUACAAGUAGCUUAACGGAAAAUAUGAGCACGAUUCAACAAUCCCAUCAUAAACAGAGCCAAAGCUUCUUAAAUUUCUCCGAUUACGGCUUCGAAUCAAAUCCCACAAAGAACACCACCGCUACCGCCACCGCAACCACCAGCACCACCCCAUCAUUCAAGCCGGAAUCCGGCGGGAUGCUGAAUUUCGGCAACGGGAGCCUCUUCUCCGGCCAUUCACAGUACGUAACAAACGAACAGAACGAGAAAAAGAGAUCCCCUGCUUCUCGAAGUAGCAACGACGAAGGGAUCCUCUCUUUCACCUCCGGCGUGAUCUUACCCUCUUCCGGUAAGGUAAAAUCCGGUGAUUCAGACCAUUCAGAUCUCGAAGCAUCAGCGAUCAGAGAAGUGGAUAGCUGUACAAAAUCAUUAGAACCCGAAAAACGUCCAAGAAAAAGAGGUAGAAAACCAGCAAACGGAAGAGAAGAGCCAUUGAAUCACGUAGAAGCAGAGAGACAACGGCGAGAGAAAUUAAACCAGAAAUUCUACGCUCUCCGAGCUGUAGUUCCAAACGUAUCUAAGAUGGACAAAGCCUCACUACUAGGUGACGCGGUUUCGUACAUAAACGAGCUCAAAUCGAAGCUCCAAAUGGCAGAAUCGGAGAAAACAGAUAUGGGAAAACAUCUAGAAUUGCUGAAGAAGGAGAUGGGAGGAAAAGAUUUAGGAUGUUACUCAAACCCAAAUGAUGAAGAUCUGAAAACAGGGAAAAGAAAGGUAAUGGAUAUGGAGAUUGAAGUUAAAAUCAUGGGUUGGGAUGCGAUGAUAAGGAUUCAAAGCAACAAGAAGAAUCAUCCGGCGGCGAGGUUGAUGACGGCGUUUAAGGAUUUGGAUUUAGAAAUGCUUCACGCGAGUGUUUCUGUAGUGAAUGAUUUGAUGAUUCAACAAGCAACAGUGAAGAUGGGGAGCAGAUUUUACACACAAGAGCAGCUUAAAAUGGCUCUUGUCGCCCGAGUCGGCGGUGGUGGAAGUGGAGGCGGCGGUGGAAUCAUGUAAAUGGGGUUAGGGGACAUUUUUGAAGCUCCCAAUUAGUAGAGUUUAGUUGAGGGAAUCUGAUUUAGUAUUGUGUAAUAUAAAUGUUGGUAAAUUAUUUUUGAUAAUUCUCUUGUUGUUCAUCUUUUGUUGUUAGAGUAAUUUGGGAGUUCUUCUAUAUGUAGUUUUUGUUUAUUAAAUAUGAAAUCUAAUAGAAGUAAAGAUCAAAGACCUUCAAACUUUGUGUUUGAUCAUUUCAAUUCUCCUUCUUUCCUUUUUUUUUUUUUUUUUGUUUUUGUUUUUGUUUUUAGGGUUUUGUUUGAACUAGUAGGUCUAGUUUAGGGAAAAUCUAGGUUUGAUCGGAAAUUAAGGACUAACCUUAACCUUUCUUGGUACAAACUUUAGUUAAACCUACAUGUCAAUAGACUUAAAAGAUUUAGUAUUAAGGUCCAAACUUUCCCACGGUUGAGAUCGAAAGCCCCUGAUAUAAGAACAACUCAUAAAAUUUGACAUUUGAUUAGGUUAUUAAGUGGAUUUCAAUGGGGAUCGAGACCUACUCUCUUAGGUCAACAUUUUUCAUAAAUACAUAAGUUGGUUAGUCUAGAUUUGUAAAUUUUAAUUGGGUUUAGUUGUUUAUGUAUGGAGAUAGGUAAUUGAACUUCUCAUAUUGAGUUAUAUACUCCUACAAGUAAAGGGAGAAACUCCCAAUAGAUAUUGGUUGUGUUGGAAAGGUUAUGAAUCGAUUAAUAAGUCAAUUACCAUUAUCUUGAUUUUGAACGCCAAUGCAUCACAUGCAUAUAUAUAUAUAUAUAUUGUCGGCUAGUACACGACCAAUUAAUGUUUGGAUAAAGUUCUUUCCAGAAUCAUCCUAUUUUCAAGACUCACUAAAAUCCUUCAGAUAUAUGGUUCCACAAUUGGUCCUAUGUACAACAGUGUAUUGAACUACUUCAACACGAUGUUCGUACAACAAUACCCACAACUCAUUUUUGCACUCCAUAGCAAAAAAUAAUAUAUUAUGUUAAGGACAACCCCUUAGGUAAAUUGCUUUGAAUGAGUUAAUCAAUCAUUUAUCCUUGUGGAUCUAACAUUAAUCCUCUCAUACCUACUAAUUGGUAUGCUUGAGAUGCAUUUUCUCGAGCACCUAUAGAAGACGUUAUAUAUAGACUGGAUUAAAAGGGACACUCAUCCUAAAAUUAGGAUUCAUUUCUUGUAGCAAAUAUUCACUUGUAGCAUACGAUAUCUAAAGGGACUGGCGUAAGUUUUCUACUGCGGGUACGUUUCCAUAAUGAUGGUGUCUUUUCAAUAUCAAACUUUACUGUUCACCAUCUUGAACUAGCCAUCCUUUAGAGAGUAUUGUUAAAAGAUAUCAAUUCCUAAUGAAAUGGAUGUCGCAGUGGCCCACUAAAAGUCUUUAAUUGAUAUUACAAUCUUUAUGCUAGUUGAGCUAUGCUCGAUUUAUCAUUUUGUAUACAAUAAGCUCUAACAAGUUAGUUAGGUUCCAUCCUUUAUAUAUAGUUUGUACACAUUAUUAUUUUUAGAUGCAUGCCACAUGCCUAAACCUUCAAAUGAUUGGUUACUAUAUUGGAGAGUUUAAGCUACCUCUCAUACAUAGAAAUGUUAAGUAGAUUCAAUGAAGUUUAGAAAUUUUAAUUUUGAAAAUUUGAAAUUCCUUGUUAAAUUCUAAUAACAAAAACAUGUUUUUGGAAACUACAUUUUGUUCUAUUUUAUUUUUUAAAUUGUUUAGAUAUUUAGGUAGAAAAUGGUUGAUAAAACACGAAAACUUAUAAAUGAAAGUAGUGUUUAUAAGAUUACUUAAAAAACCAAACAAUCAUCUAGAAAGUGUAUAACAAAAUAAAGACUAUUAGAAAGUAAACGUAGUUACUUAAAUUUAAAAAAAAAGCUUAAUAAUUAUCAAACGAAACUUAAAUUUAUAACAACCUAAUUUAAUUUGAUGUGUGGUUAAUAAUUGGGACCCAAAAAGAUAAGCUUCUAGAGGCAUGGAUGAUAGUGAAGAAUUGAAGAUGACCUUACACUUCAUAUAUGGACAUAAAAGGACCAUUUUCAUAGAAUCUUCAAGAAGAUAUUGAUGGAGAUUAUUUUCUCUUUUGGUUGAAGUUCAAUGGUAAAAAGAAUAAAAAUAAGUAAAUAACUUUUUAUUAUUCGAGAAUAUCAAGAUCGUUUAAAUAACAUUUUGACAUGCUCUUAACGAUCAUUUUUCAGUGUCAACACGAUCAUUUAAAUUUAAAGUUUUUUCCAUAGUUUAAAACUAACCUACACGAUCGUGUUUGCAUUAUCUAAACUUGCUUACCUUAGUUAACAUGAUCGUUUAGCAUGGUCAACACGAUCGUUUAAUUUGAAGUUUUUAAUGAUAAUUUAUAUUGGACUAUACGAUCACUUAUCAUGAUCAACAUAAUAAUUUAAAUUUAAAAGCAUUUUGUCCCAUCCUUUAAAAAGAACCAGACGAUCGACCUAAAUGAUAGUAGAUCAUUCGUUUAGACUGUAGUACACGAUCAUUUAGAAGAAAAUUAUCCUUGAUCGCAUGUGGCUAGAUUAAUUCCAUGUUAACUUUUUUUUGUUUAUACGAGGACAUUUUGAACUUUAAUUAGUUUAAUUAGUUUAUUGGUCUAUAGACUAUGUAAGAAAUUUUGGGUAAAUGCUAUUUUUCACAAUAAAAACUAAGUUGUUUGGAAUCUAAACUUUUAGAAAAUUAAAAUUACAUAAAUUAACUCAUAACAAACUAAAAUGGAGAGGCUACAAAGUGUUUUUCCUUGAACAUGUUUUUGGUUGCACCAUCAUAAGGUGAAAUUAUGAAAUCAAUACUCAAUUAUUGGUUUUGUUACAUAUUUAGAUGAAAAUGAUGAUCAAACAAAGAAGAAGAAAAAGUAAUUAAUGAAAGAAAUAAAGGGGAGAUUAAAAGGGAAAUGAAAGAAUGAAUAGAAAUGGUUAGAAAUAGGAUUAGAAUUAAUAAUCCUUAUCCCAAUAAAAGAAAGAAACCCUAAAAUUAGAGAGUGGUAGUUAACCAAAAAAUCCGUACAACCAAAAAACGAAAAAUCCCCAAAUUUAAAACCCUAAAAAUUUCAUUUCAUGAAAUCAAUCCCCACAAAAUCUUUAAUCUCUCUCUCUCUCUCUCUCUCUCUUUCUCCCGUGUCUUCUUCAACCAUCAAUCAUGAGUUUGAAUUGCCUCUCCUGUCAAAUCUUACAGAGAACGGAUUCCGAGAGACACCGUGACCGGCAGGUCCAAACUUACUAUACCUCCGAUGAGUUCAAUUCCUCGGAGAGAAGCUGGUCGGGGAACCUCUGUCUCCGUCCAAACAGAGGAGGAGGAGGAGGAGGAGGAGGAGGAGGAGGAGGAAGAGGGUUUCGGGGCAUGGCGGACAACAAGGUGGCUCCGAUCGGUCACCGCCGUGCCGUAUCGUUCGGGGGGAAGGAGCCGAGAUUGAUUAGAAGCUCAGGGAUGAGGAGGGAUUGGAGCUUUGAGGAUCUCAGAGCUAUUCGUGAGGAAAAGCAACCUUCUCCCAAUUCCUAACUUUCAAUUAACCUUUUCUUUUAUUUCUUCUUUUCAUUUUAUUUAAUCUUUAUUUGAACAUGAAUAUAUAUAUUAAUAUAUAUUAAUAUAUAUAUACGUAUAUAUAUAUAUAUACAUAUAUAUACAUAUAAAUAUUUAUAAAGUAUAUAGUAGAAAUGGGGAUUCUUUUCAAUCUUUGAAAAUAUGUUGUUUCUUUUUAUCAUUUGAAUUUGAUCAUACCACUUUUUCUUAAUUUGAAUUUCUUUUCAUGUAUUAUUAUUAACCAUUCAUUUAUAAAAAUUCACUACAUUAUAACUUUUUUCUUUCUUCUUUUAAUACUUUCAUUUUUCAUUUUAUAACAAAACCAUAAUAGAUUGUAAUAUAAGGUGUUGAAUAUAAGAACAAAAAAGGAAGGAAUGAAUGAUUAGACUAUGGAAAAAUAAGGAAGAAAAAGAGAAAUGGAUGAAAAUCUUUUUUCUUCUUACCAUUAUUAUUAAGAAUUUUUUAUUACAUCAAUUAAUUGUCAAAUGAUAGACCUUUUCUCUUGUUAAUUGAUAAAAUUAUUAAGUUGUAAAUUGGCAUGGCUACAUUUUUUCAUAUAGUUAUAUAAAUAUUACAUUUAAAUUUGAAAAGUUUUAUCAUUUAAUUAUCCAUUUUGUGUAUAUAGAAAAUCAAAUGCAAAGUGUCAUACCGGGUCGUUUUGUCGGGGGUCAAUUUAACACUUAAAAGUAUAUUUUGAAAAUUCUUGAUUUGAAAUUUCCAAAACUAACCUACUUCAGUUUGGUCGAUUGAUUCGUUUUUUAGUCUAUCAUGCUCACCCCUAUGAAAGAAGCAUCAUUCAAGUAUGGUUUGCUUUUUUUAUAUUAAAAAGAUGAACAAGUAGAUGGAAACUAACCUAACUAUAAGACACCAAUCUAAUACUCUUUCAUAAACUUUUACAAUUUAAAUGGUAAAAUUGUGAAAUUGAAGGGUCAAAAGUGAAAUAUUUUUGCAAUGAAGUCUAUAAAUUAAUUUACUUUUGAAACGAACUAUUAAUUUAUAUAUAUAUACGUAUCAUUUUAAAAGUCAUAAUUUUUUUUAAAGUAAAAAGUGAAUGUGGAAAGAAAAAAAGGGAGAAAGGCAAAAGAUAUUAAAGGACAAAGGCAUAAAAUACUUGGAAAUGUUGCACAAGUAAACAUAUGGCUAACAUAGUAAAAUUUUAUAUCAUUCAAAAAGUUGAACCAACCUAAAUGUAGCCAAGCAUGAAAUCAACCAACCCUUUUCAAAAGUAAAUUUGUCUUAGCUUAAUUCUACUCUCGUCUCUUUUGCUUUUGUAGUUUCUGACCUUUCUCUACCAAUUUUAUCAUUUAGGUUGAUCUUGAUCUGAAUGAGCACACAUGCCCUUGUUCACCACUUAGUCGAUCAAUCUACGAUGGUUAGAGUAAAGCAAAGAAUAUGGUUAAUUCUUCUUUAGAGCCAUCUGAUUCUAUUACGACUAUGUAUGACAUAUAAUUCAAUUGAAUAAUUAAUAAAUACUUUAGAGAGAUCGGAAGGACAAUUUUUGCAAGAAUAGUUGUAUGCUUACAUUUUGUUCAACUUGUCUUGUUCUUUCAACAUGGACCGUGUCAUUGUUUGCAAUUAUGUACCAAAUGAUUCGUUGUACCAUUUAAGAGAUUUUAUUAUUGAGUGGUUGGCAAAUACGACAACAUAAGCGUAGUCUCACAUGUGUACCAUUCUUAAAUAAUGCAUUGAGUUGUUUGUAUCAAGUUGAUAUCAAGAUCCCUUAACACACUCGGCUCAACCCCUGAUUUUGAAGACAUUGAGAUCACAAUUUCUGUUUGUGCAACCUAACGCUAAUUUCACUUAAGUAUGUCUUGAGAUUCAUCUAAACUAUACUAAUGAAUAGGAGAAUCCAGUAGUAUCAUCAAUAUAUCAACUUACUCCUUUUACUUAAUCAACUAUUAAUUUAACUUUUCACAUUGACUCAAUUAUUUUACGUAUUUUUAUCUCAUCAUUUGAUGCAUCAAUUUUUCUUUCUAUAUUUUUAUCCGAGAUGGACCGAGAGAUGUAAUCGAGGAUGGAUUGAGAAAUUUUUCUGAACGAAUUUUUGAAAAUGAUGGAAGAUCUAUAAGACAAAAACUCAACAAUGUUAUUCUAGGGAAUUUUUGAACAAAAAUUGUAGAUAUAAUAAAACUUAUAUAAACCUUAGGAAGUUAGGGGUAGAAGACUAUAUAUAUAGUAUAGAUUUUAAUCACAAAAGUGUAUAUAUGGAGUUUGUGAUAAUUUGAGUGGGCUUUUGGUUCUGAAAAGCCCAAAAUACAUAAAGUUUGGGCUUAUAUCUCUUUCUUUCCAUCUCUCAUUGAUUUGUAGAAGAAAUUUGUCACCAACGCAUUCACGAACUGAAGAAUCAUUCCCAUUUCUUAAUUUUUUUUCUUCAAUUUUCCCGUUGACUUACAAAAAUCAAAUUUUGGUUUCGGUUUUGAUUUGGGAUUUUCCAUUUUUCUUCUCUUUCGCCUUCUUUCGAUCUGAUUAUUAGUUUUUCUUUUUUUCUUCACAUCUUUGAUCCUCUCCUUCCCUUAGGGUUUGGAUUGGACUUUUCUUUGUCGUCUCAGAUCCUCAAUUUCACCGCGUAAUUUCUUUCCACUUCUCUCAGUUCCCACCAUUUUAGUCUCCAUUUUUCUUUUCCACCUUUUUUCUUCGCGUUUACUGCUUCUUUCUUCUCCUGCUCAUAGUGUUUACGACGUCAGAAAUCUUUGUUCUCUUGGAGGAAAGCCUAUAUAUUUCCUGUUUUUUUGUUCAGACCAUUUCUGGGUUCUCUUUUAUUUCUCAGAAUGGCCACACCGUUGAUGGCUUCUGGGAUUUUUAAACUGCGGAGGAUCAAGUGAAGGGUAUGCUUUUGUUUCUAUUCUUUUUUAUUCUUCAGCUUUGUUGGUUGAAUUUCUCUUUCCGUUGAUUGGAUUUGUUGUUACUGUUUUGGGAUUCGCCUGAAUUUUGGUUUCUGUGGAUUUUUUCUGUUGAAGGAUUGUGAAUGUUCUGAAUUGGUGGGACUUUAGGAGAAGUGGGAUUUGAUUUGGUUUGGUUUUAUUAGAUUGCUGUUUUUUCUAGACUGCUUUAGUUAUUCAUUGUGGAGAUGGAUAGGAACAGGCAGAAUGAGAAUUUGGGUGUAAACAAAUUGGGGAAAAACAUUAGGAAGAGUCCAAUACACCAACCAAAUUUUGGUAAUAAUAAUGCUGCUAGGCCUCAACCCCAGCCACAAAUUUACAACAUAAGUAAGAAUGAUUUUAGGAAUAUUGUUCAGCAGCUUACAGGUUCACCAUCUCAAGAUAAUCAACCUCCUCCUAGACCUCCACAAAAUCCACCAAAAUCCCAAAGCAUGCGGUUGCAGAGAAUAAGACCUCCUCCGUUAACACCGAUUAAUCGACCGAAUAUACCUGCUCCUAUCCCUGCCCCUGUUCCCGUUCCUCCACCACAAGCUCUAGUCAAUAACAAUGUGCCUAGGCCUCCACAAUUUGCUCAGCCACCUCCAAGACAGUUGCCACCAGUGGCAAUGGGAGGCGACUCGCAUUGGCCGAACCCUGCUGCUGAGUCUCCUAUUUCGGCGUAUAUGCGUUACCUUCAAAAUUCAAUGAUGAAUCCAUCUCCAGUAGGAAAUCAAGCUCAAUUUAUACCACAAUCUCAGGUUCCUGGUCAAAUGCAUCCUCCUCAUGCACCUCCACCGGGUUUAUUGCCUAAUCCUAAUCCUAAUCCACCCGUUCCUGCUCUUCCAUCCCCAAGGCUUAAUGGUCCUCCACCCCCUAUCCCAAACUUCCCUUCACCACACUGGAACGGUCCCGCCCUUUUACCUUCCCCGACUUCCCAGUUUCUAUUGCCUUCUCCUACUGGUUACUACAAUUUGUUGUCUCCCAAAUCACCGUAUCCGUUACUCUCACCGGGGAUCCAGUUUACUCCGCCGCUGACUCCUAAUUUCGCAUUUCCAUCCAUGCCUCAAUCAGGGAUCUUAGGUCCAGGGCCUCAUCCGCCACCUUCACCAGGGGUUCUGUUCCCUUUAUCUCCCUCGGGGAUUUUUCCCAUCUUGAGUCCAAGAUGGAGAGAUCAAUAACCCUUCCUCGGAGUGUUUUCGUGCUGAAGAUCUCCAUGCCUGCUGACAUUUUCAUCUACUUGUGAAGAUGGUUGCCAAACUCAUGUUGAAAGCUAGCUGGCUGCCCUUUUCGUGUUUUAUAUCUCUCAAUUAGUUUGAUUUUUCCUUUUAACACUUUAAAUUGUAAAAUCUUUUUGCUUCUCAUUUUCGCUCUGGAAAAAGUCUAAUCCUGUAACCUGUAGUCUUGUAUAAUGCUUUUCCCUCUCCUUUGUAGGACAAGUUCCUAUUAGGCAAUAUAGUGAAAGAUCAAGUUAUCAAAAUUGUAUUACUAUAUGUAACAGGAAGAACAGAGCUGUAACCUUAGACAUAGGGAUCAUAGAUGUCAAGUUGAUAGCUUUGUCGGUUGGUUGGUCGGUCGGUCGGUCGGUUUAGUUGAAUAAUAGUCCAAUUCUGUAAGAUGAUGGAAUGAAUAUUGUUUGAUAUCUAAGUUCUUUUAGCUGGUUUAUAGAAGGAAAUGUUGAAGAAGUGAAUUUUUUUUAUGUCUUUUAAUUGUUCUUGUCUAUUAUUUCAUUAAAGUGGCUGCCAUAUUACAUAUAUCUAUAUCUAUAUAUGCUUGAAAUUGUUAUUGUAUAGGAAGAAUCUAGCUUCAUAUAGAUGUAUUCAUGAUAUUGAGAUUUUUUUUGAGCAUAGCAUGAUAAUGAGAUUGGUUCUUACUACUACUACUGCUAAUAGUUGGACGCUAUUGUUUACUUUUAAAACAUGUAGGCUAUGAAGAAAGAACCUCAGUACAUGGCCAUGUCCACUUUUUUAUUAUUCAAUUUUGUCUAUUAUUUAAGGACUACUUAAGACUAUAAUAAUCUUUCCUGGUUACAGUAAAUACUAUUUUUAGUCUCCAAUCCAUCACCGAUUUGCUACAAUUUUUACUAUUUUACCUUUGUUAUUUCUUUUAUUACUUGCUAUAGUGUUUCACUAUUUCCUUUUCAAAUCAAAAUAGUUUACACCUCAAACAUAUGUCAUUGUAACUUGAACUAAAACAAUCUACACUUCAUAUACAAACUCAUAUGACUCAAUUAUAAUAAUCUAGGACUAUGAUAACCAACUCUUUGUUCUAAGUGCAUCCUUAUAUUCUAAUAUUUUUCAUUUGUGUUCUUAUUAUAUAACAAAAGCUUUAAUAACACAUGUUUGUACCUGUGGACAAGAGGUUUCCGUAUUUCAUUAGAAUGUUUAAAUUUUGUGUUAAUUUUUGAGAAUUUGAAAGUCAAAAAAAGUGAUCACAUUUCAUAAUAAAUACAAAUUUCCUUUUCAGAUAUAGUUGAAAUAAAAAGAAGUAUAAAUCUUCUUCUUCUUUUUUUUCACUUGAAAAUGUAUUCAAUUAUACAUUAAAGUUUUAUGGUUAGAUAAUAUAUAAGAUGAUAAACAUAUAUUUGGAUGUAAUCCAAAGUGGUAGGUUAGGAGUUGGAGUUGGAGUUGGAGUUUCCUACACCUAUUCUAUUCUCCAUUGAUAUAAUUGAAAUAAAGAGGCAAGUUGGCAAGUUGGAAAUGGUAGCACUCUAUAACUGGACCCUCACCAAUUUCUAUUUGCAAUCAAAUUAUGCAAUUUCAUUCAACCUAUUCAUCAAAGCAAGAAGAAACGCCAUCAACAAUGGCAGAACACACUUCUUCUUUUUCCUGUGCCUUUUUCUUACUUGAGACCAUAAUUCAAAGUUACAUCACUUUCACACCUAUCAUCAUCACCAUCACCACCAUUCCCCUAAUUCUCUUCAAGUUUGAAAUUGUAUGGACAUAUAUUUGAAAUUUAGACCUUUCAAGGUAGACAAUUGAUGUCGUAAUUGUUAGCAAAUUUGUGUACAAAGUGAGAAUUUUGAACAUUCAAACGGUAUAUUUUUAACCGUUGAGCCAUCAUAGUGUGUAAAAAUAUGUUUGUUAUUAACGAGAGUUUUGGAUUGGUAGGUGAAACUAUGACAAUGGGUAACUUAGAUGAGUAGGUGAGUACAGAUUAACUUUUUUUCUUCUAGAAAAUAUAUGUGAGUGAGGAUGAACCAUAUACUAAAAGAAUUUGUGUGGGUAACUUUUAGUCUUAGAAGUAGUUCAAGGAACAGGCAAACGUCGUAAGGUUACAGGUUAGAGUGAAAUGUGAGUGCCAAAUAUCUAUAAAUGAUGGUGUGAAUCUUGGAGUUGAGACGUUAUAUUAAACAAAAUCAAAAUGAAUGGACGAAAUUAAUAAGAAUAUAGGGAGGUUGAAAGUGAUGAUGAAGAUUUGACCUUAUUCACAUUAUUUUGGACCACAUUCACAUCUUUCAUCUUUAUUUCUCCAAUUAACAUCCAAUCUCUCAACUUGCAAAAACCUUUGAAGAAUAAUCCCUUAUGCCCCACAUGCAUUAACAUACCCUUCCUUUUUCCAUAAUCACAACUUUCUCUUACAACAUUCCCUAAUCAUCACUACUUUACAAGUGAUUUGAGACAUGAAAAAAGAAAAAGAAAAAAAAAGAGAAGAAGAGAAGUGGGUUUUUAAAUUUUAAUGACCUUCAAAUUGCAACCUCUAACAUUAGAUAUAAAGAUUUCAAUUCUAUACCUCUAUCCAUAAAACGUUCAUUGUCGACAAUAUUUUUAAUAAAAAUUAUUAUUUUUUUAAAUUUUUAUAUUAACCGUUACAAAAUGAAAA